RNAcentral lists this long non-coding RNA (55145 nucleotides) under Salvia miltiorrhiza (redroot sage). RNAcentral's name for it is "long non-coding RNA (SMIL_LNC011427)". The record is from RNAcentral. Lineage: Eukaryota; Viridiplantae; Streptophyta; Magnoliopsida; Lamiales; Lamiaceae.
GAAGAUUCCGAGGUUGCCCCCGCUGCCGCCGUUGGGGAUGGUGGAGCCGACGGGGGCCAUGAAGAAGGUGAUGCCGUCAGCGGUGAGGUUGGUGGGGCUGGGUGUGAUUAUGAAGUUUACGGUGGUUUCAAAGUCGACUUGGCCGCCGGCUUGGGAGAACUGGACCGGGUUCGAGUGCAAGACCCGGCCGACACUGCCUAUCGUCGGGAAGGUGAGGCGGAGGAAGGGGGAGUUCCAUACGAAAUGGGCGUGGCCUUGGUAGGUGAGAUCGGUCGGCAAGUCACUCCAGAAGUCGUAGGUGAAGGACGUCGAUUGGGACUGCGCAGUGUUGGCGGCAGCGGCGAGGAGGAGGAUGAUGGAGGAGAGGAGAGGAAUUAGGGUUUGGAGGAGCUUAGCCAUGGCUUAAUUGAGUAUAUUUAGAUGUGGUGGAUGAUGGUGGUAUCUCUUGCUCCUAUUUAUAGUGAAUAGUGUAUAGUGUAUAGAGUAUAGUGUAUAUAUGCAUGAUAUUAUGAUUUAAUUGCCUAUGAAUUAUUAAACUUUCAUCAAAUUCUUAUUUUAUAUAUAAACUUCAAAUUAAAUGUAGCGUGAUAAUCACUAAAUUUAUUUAAUCUUAUAUUUGCUACCAAUCAGGAUUCUAGCCAAAUUUACUAUUGACAUUACAAAGUCGAGGAUAUCCUAAGAUGGAUUGAAACAUUAAGAUAUUCCAAGGAUCUUAAUAAUUUCUAUCAUUUGGCAUAAUUUUAUUUGAUUCAUAUCUCAUUGAAAGAAUAUGAUUUUUAUCCCCUCCGUUCACAAAGAUUGUAUGGUGAACUCAGGACAUGAGUUUUAAUAAAUACUUCUUCCGUCCCCAAAAUAACUUUCUAUGAGAGAGGGGCACGAGUUUUAAGAUAAAAUUGUUGAGUGUAUUCGAAGUGGUUAAAAAGUGUUAGUAUUGAAAGUGAUGAAAAUGUGUUAUAAUUAGUAUUUGAAGUGGUGAAAAGGUAAAAAAAUAGAGUAAAUAUAUGGAGUAUAUAUUAGUAGAAAGUGUAGAAAGAUCCACCAAAAUUGAGUGGAGAAAAAGAUCCACUAAAAUUGAUGUGUUAAAUGGUUGAAUAUUUUGUAAAUAUUGAAUGUGAAUGAUGUUUAAAAUGUAAGGGGCGUAGUUUCUAAAUAAAGAAAGCAUACAAUCUUUAUGGACAGACGAAAAUAAUAAUAAACAUACAAUCUUUGUGGAUUGAGGGAGUGAUAAACAUUUCAUUCAUUUAUUGUGGUUUGGAAUCGAUCUUUAUCAACAUUACAUGCAUUCACAAAUAUGAAGAAGGAUUUAAAACGUGUGACACCUUAUUUUAUAUUUAAAAUCGCAAUCACGAAGAGGACCACACUUAUCCUCUAAUCAAUGCUCUCCAUUAUUUUAUAGGAAAGGAUAAACAUGAUUCUUGGUUUAUUUAUGCUUUUAAUAUAUACAAUUAGAUGAUUUUUGGGGCAAAAAGUGAAGAUUUUGAUGUCCGACGGAGUCAAGUAAAGAAGUUGAAAAAAUCGAUUUUUGAUGCAAUUUUAGAAGAUCCAAAGAUGAUAAGAUCUGUGCUUGAGGGAACUUAUUUUGCAUAAGAAAGACUUUCAUUAAUUUCUUAAUUCGAGUAUAAAAUUAGAGGAUUAAAACCACAACUAAUGUUCCUUUGGCUUUUCCUUGAACAAUGUUGGGUAGCUAGUGAAUUUUCUUUGGUAAGUUCGUCCUUUUCUUUGACAAUGAGAAUUGACGUAAAUUGGAUUGUAUUGAAGAUUCUAGUAACAUUAUUCUAGUUUAUAUUUCAUGAUUUAAGGGCUGAAAAUAUGUAAGUAUGUUAAAGGCUAAAUUUUAGGUAAAUAAGUGCUCCAUACUUUGUUAAUAUGCCACUUUACAAAUAAUGUAUGUGUGAACUUGAAUUUGUUUUUUCAUUUAAAGAGAACUAAUAAUGAUAUCCAUUUCCCCCGUGAUGAUUCGAACCCCCAACUUAACAAUUACUGGUGAAACGUUUUAUCCAUGUGAUGACUCUAACCCCCCAAUUUAUAAUUAAUGAUUGGAUGGGAAGCGUAUUGAGGUUGUUAGUGAUUCUUCCAAGGUUAUUUUGUAACUAUGAACUAUCGAUUUUGUAUCAAUUGUACCCUGCAUUUGUUUUUUAGCUAGAGAAAAUAUGAGAAAAGAAAUGAGACAUUUAAAGGCAUAAAUUUUUGUUAUCCCUCAUUUUCUCAUCCAUCAAAGUGAACGCACCCUUAAAUGAUGAUUUGAAAAAAUAAAGUGAUUGUUUCUACGCUAAACCUAAUUGCGUUCGGCCUUUUUCGUUAUUUUAGUAUUUUCCUCAUUUAUUUUCAAUUCUGUUUCCUAUAUAUGGAUAUUUGAUGUAUGAGAAGAUGCUUUCAUAUGAUCCAUUUCAGAAAUAAAAUUAUUUAUUUUCUUUCUCACGAAGAGCGCUCACUUUGACAUCAGUAUCGCAUGAGCUGCACAUAAUUAAUGAAAGAAAAUAAGCAUACACUUGCAUUAUAUAAGAAGAGCAUAUAUACUCGCAGCCGUUUCUCAUAAAUUUCACGCAGUUUUUCGAUCUUUAGAGCCGCCGGCAUGCUCGGCCGAUCUGAAGCUCCAGUAGUCGAUAUCGUGAAGGGCGACGAGGUCGCCGGUGGAGGAGGCGAUUCCGACCUGAACCUGCGACGGAAGAAUUUCCCCCAAAUCAUACUCGUAUUCGAGAAGGCGAGUUUCUUUGUCGCAUUUGAGCGUAACGUCGAUGAAAUUGAUGCCGUCGUAUUGUAUGUGCAGCUGCGCCUCUUUCCCGAUGCACGAAUCGCCAAAUUUCACGAAGUUGCUCGACUUUAUCGAGCUGAUGUCGAUGCCGAUGUGCGGGAGAUCGUGGCUCGGAUCCCAACCGUUGGAGUAGAGGUCGAAUUCCACGGCAAAGAAGGCGGAGGCGGCCGGGCUAUCCCCCGAGGGGUUGAAUAGGCCUAGAUUGCCUCCGUAGGAACCCGGGGGGAUGGUGGUCCCCACGGGCGCCAUGAAGAAGGCGAUGCCGUCCGCGGCCGGGCCUUUUGUGGGGGUGAUGGUGAAUUUUAUGGUGGUAUUGAAAGAUACUACAAUUGAAUUUUCCCACAAUUUGAAGGGUUUGGAGUACAAUACGCGGCCGAUGCUCGACGGCCGUGGAAGGCCGUUGGCGUCGGUCUUGGUUAGCCGGAGGGAACGGGCGCCGUCGGGGACGUGGGCGUCGCCCUGGUAGGUUAGGUCGGUGGAGUUGGCGACGAAGGAGGUGAAGGUGAAGGAGGUCUUUUGUGAGGUCGCCUUGUUUGCUAGCAUUAGGAAAAAUGCUAUGCAAAAGAGGAGAAGAAUUAGGGUUUGUAGAAGCUUGGCCAUGGCUUGAUUUGAUGGGUGGAGUAUUAUUUGGAUGUAGUGAAUAGUGGUUGGCUCUCUAGCCCUAUUUAUAUUGGUUUAAUGCCACAUUCCAUUAUUAGUUUAAUAUAUUGUAGCUCACUAUUUUUUUUGAACUUUAUGGAGAAGGCAUGAGUUUUUUAAAAAAAUUGAGAAAUGUGUAUAAAAUGAAUAAAGAGGCUCACUAAAGUUGAUUUGGCAGGUAUUAAUAAAUUAUUUGUGUGAUGAGUUUUUUGUAAAUAUUGUGUGUGAAUGAGGGUAAAAUAUAAAGGUACAUAUGUCUUAAAAGGGACGGAAAUGACAAAUACUUAUUGUGGAUAAAGGUAGUAUAAUAUACGGAGUGUAUACUUAAGUUUAUCAAUUUUAUUACUAAAUUAAAUAUGGUUAAUUUAAUAUCAAUAUGCUUAUUAGUAAUUAGUAUUACUCCAUUCAUCCCAAAAACAUCAAUCUUUACUUAUUUUUUCGUUCGUCUCCAAAACAUCUUCCUAAUCUAUUUUUAUGUCCUGUAUUAAAUUUUCAAGCUAGUUUCACUCCCCAACUAUCGUUUAAAUUAUACAUACAUAUAUGGACGACUUGAAAAUUUGUUAAGGCAAUUGAUUAUGCCCAUGCCGUAUAGAAUCAAAAACCAUUCCUAAACAAAAAAUAGAAUAAUUAAGAAAAUAAUCUAGAAUAUAAAUAUAGAACUUAAAUUCUUUGCCACAAAUUUAAGUCAAUCAGCCGACAUAGUAAAUGUAUGUGUUUACAAGUAAUCAUGCCUUGUCUUGAGAUUCAAGUUGGCAAUUGAAGCAAAAUUUCUCACACAUAGCUAUCUACUCUAGCUAUGAAAUCAUGCAUUGUCUUGAGAUUUAAUUUGGCCCAUGAAUCCAAAUUUUGCAAUCAUGCCAUGUCUUAAGAUUCAAUUUGGCCCAUGAAACUAAAUUUCUUGAGCCUAUCUCUAACCUCUUUGAUAUUCAUAUAUAAUAACACCUUUAAAACACACACAACCCACUUCUAAAGUUCUACAUGUAUACACACGAACUCAUGCUUAUGUCACAAAUUAAGUUUUUCAAAAAUAAACUUUUCCCUAUUUGAAUUCCUUAUGUAUUCAGUUUGUUUUUAAUAUUUAAACUAUGUUAUUACAACAAAAUUAUCUAGCAGGGACAUGAUUUUAGCAACAUAAAAAAAGAUGUCAUAAAUUUCUUACUCCCUCCGUCCUCCGAAGCUUGAUCAACAAUUUCUUUUCGGCACGGAGUUUAAGGAGUUAAUAUUUUGUAUGUUAAUUAGUGUGGUAGGUGAAAAAAUGAAAAGAUGAAUAACGGGAAAAGUUGUUGCCAUAUAAGGAAAGUGAUCAAGCUUCGCGGAUAACCCAAAAAUGAAUACUGCUCAAGAUUCGCUGGAAGAAUGAAGUACAAUUUUAGGCAUAACAAAAAUUUAUUUACAUCCACACAUGCAUGCACCGAUACUUUAUCACAUGCAAAAUUACAAGUAACUUUGCUAAUUACAAAAAUUAAUACAUGAACCCUCAAAUGUCACUAGAUGUAAUGAUAUUUUUAUAUUUUUUCGACACACAUAAUAGUUACUCAUCACAAAAUAUCAAUAUUUUUAUCAUAUAGUGAUAUUUAUAAGUUUCACAAUUUUUCAAAUAUUAUGUCAAUGCUAGCUUAGACAUUUUGUUUUGACACUUUGUAUUGAAACAUGUUUUUUACAAAAAUAAAAUAAUUGAAUUUAUUAACGAAUAUUUAAACAAUCAAUCAAUAAUAACUACAAAGUGAAGCAAUUCAAGUUAAAAGGUAAAUUCUAAAUUUAAAUUUGAAAAACAAGAAAAUUCGAGCCUUAAUUUUUUUUAUUUUUUUAUAUACGCACUACAAAUCUCCCAUAAAUCUUAAAUCAAAAUUUAACCUUACAACAAAAAAUAAAUAUAUAAACUAAAAUGGAGUAUGAUAAUAUAGUUUUAUCAAAUUAUUUGAUAAUUCUAUUAAUAAAAGAUAAAAAAAAAAAUAAGGGGGGCCCACGGGCAUGCUGCCCCCAUAUGCUAUGGACCAUGGUGGCUAGGUCACUGCGCUCUCGAGAUCUACACUAUUUAUACGUGGUAUUCAUUGCGAAUUAUUUUGCAUUAUCUUUGUUUAUUUUUCUUAUAUUGGGAAAGAAAACAUGAGUAAUAUAUAGUAAUCUUUUAGAAGUCCAGUUACCAAUGUCGUCAAAAUUAUCUUGUCUAUUUUUAGAAGUUCAGAUAAACAUGCAACACAUUUUCAGAAGAAAUUUAAUAAUCUCUUACGAUUUACAUUUAUUUUUUAAAUAAUUAUCUCAGUGGUGAUAAAAUAAAAAAAUCGACUACAUUUUUCUAAGUAAUUUAUUAGAUACAAAAUAUUAUGAUUUAUGUUUGUAUAUUUUUUGUUUCCCAUUAGUGCAUUAUCAUUUCUAAGUAUCUUCUCACUUGUUCACUGAUUCACUAUUGGAUUAACAUGAAUAUACGAAUUUCAUAGUAUACCAACUGUUCGAUAAAAGUCCUAAAAGAAAUCUUCCAUAGAUAACCUUGCAAAUAACAGGAAACUAAAAUUACUCCCAAAGCAUUCCAUACAUAGAGAUGCGGAUUACCUUAUUCGUAGACUUAACGAGAGUACACUCGAUCGCUAGUCCUUAUUUACGACCCAAACUACACAUACAUUACAAAAUCACACAACUUGACGAAUGUUUCCACCGAGCUCCUUCCUGCUCUUGGCAGCGACGCCGACGUUUUGCACCAUGGUGGCCGUGAAAUACCACGCCACGAUGUCGUGUCUGGCGACGACUUGCCCCGUGGAGGCGGAGAGCCCGACUUGGACCUGCUCAGGAAGGAAGCCGCUCAAAUCGUACACAUAGCUGACCUCGAACGCUUUCGAGCCGGCGGUGACGUGGACGUCGAUCAUCUUCGUGGCGGCGGCGUAGUUGAUCCUUGCCGUCACCUGCUGCCCGAUUAUGGAGCCGUCGACCUCCGUCGUGUUGCCGGAUGACCUAGAGCCGAUGUCGAUGCCGAUGUGGGGAUAGUUCGGAUCCCACGCGCCGUUGACGUAGGUGUCGAACUCGACGGCGAAGACCGAGGGGCUGCUGCCGGAGGAGCCGAAGAUUCCGAGGUUGGAUCCGCUAGAGGAGGAAGGGAUGGUGGACCCGACGGGGGCGAUGAAGAAGGCGAGGCCGUCGGCGGCAGAGUUGCCGGGGCCAGGUGUGAUGAUGAAGUUUACGGUGGUUUCAAAGUCGACUUGGCCGCCGGUUUGUGAGAACUGGACCGGGUUCGAGUACAAUACCCGGCCAACUUUGGCGGUCUGUGCGUCGGUGAGGCGGAGGAAGGUGGAGUCCGACGGGAAAUGGGCGUCGCCUUGGUAGGUGAGGUCGGUCGGCUGGUCGCCCCAGAAGUCGUAGGUGAAGGACGUCGAUUGGGACUGCGCCACGUUGGCGGCGGCGAGGAGUAGGGCGACGGAGGAGAGGAGAGGAAUUAGGGUUUGGAGAAGCUUGGCCAUUGCUUAAUUGAUUUGGAUGUGGUGGAUGAUGGUGAUAUGUCUUAAGCUUGCACUCCUAUAUAUACUAGUGUAGUUCAUGCAUGAUAAUGUUGUUUAAUCAUCAUAUAUUUUAUUUCAUUAAAAUGAAUCACCUCGUCCAUUCGAGGUAAAUGAACCAUGUGAUCUUAUGUACUACCAGCCACAUUUUAAUUUGCUCGUUGGAAUAUUAUCUAUAGUUGUAUCUAUUGUAUUUGUAUAAAUGAUUUUUGGAAGGGAACUUAGAAAAAGUUCUUGAUAGGGGCUGUAUUUUUUAAUUUCAAGUGCAAAAUUAAGUUUUGAUAGACAAUUUACUUAUGAUUCAAUUUAACGAUCGGGUUUUCUGAAAAAAAAAAAUUCACACAAAAAAUCGAUUAUUUAAUAAUUUUAUAAGAAAAAAGAAGAAGAAGAAAUUUUCUAUUUAGGAUAUACACGAGCAGAUGAGAUCCUCUGUCCCACUAUUUUGUGUGUACCACCAUGUACCAUUCUUAAUUUAUUUAUUUUAGUAAUUAUUUUUUAUAAAAAUAAAAAUUAUUAUUAUAUUUUUUAUUUUCAUUUAAGUGAGUUACUAGAUUUAUUUGGGGUGAGCACAGGUUAUUUUGGAAAAGGAGAAUAUCUGUAAGAUGAUGUGAAAAUUAUUCAAUAUAAGCACAUAUAGGGGUUGAGUUCUCAAAGGAACUUAAUUAAUAUCCAAUGUGAUUGAUACAUUUCGACUAAAUGGAUGGACUGUGACGCCCCGACCAAAAGUAAAGAGUGAUUGUGAUCGGUGCACAAGGCAUGGAUGAAAAGCGGUUCCUAGUAAUGCUUCGAUACGGAGGAUACAUGAAUGAAUCGAAACACACCAGAAAGAGAGGGAUUCCAUGAGUACGUACGCAGGUAUAUGACUGCAUAUUCGAGGAGCUUAAAUAAUUUUAUUGGUGUUACUCAUAUCAACAAGAUGCAUCUUCUUUUUUGGUGACCAUAUGAAAUAAACUCCAAGGUUAAGCGUGCUUGGCGUAGAGCAACUUGAUGAUUGGUGACCUCCCUAAGAAGUUUAUCAGAAAGCGUGCUAGUAAGAACAAAACAUGCUAGAAAAGACUCAUAUUAGUCUGUGGGGACAGCCGUUAAAUUUGGAUUCGGGUCUUUACAAGUGGCAUUAGAGAUUAACCUCUCACAGUAUGGUGCGGUUCGGGAACGAACCAAGCGGAAGUUGGUACUCAAUAUUCCAUCUAUUGUGAGUUUCUUUGUCUUCUUCAUCUUUCUUUUACUCUGCUGUCGAGUUUCAGAGAGUAAUCAGAUAGGUUUUCAUUCGAGUUGAGUUUCUUGAGUGAUAAACUGUUAAUUGUGAGUUUCAUUCGAUCAUUUGUUGAUUAUAAAUAUCUGCACAUGGAUAUUGGUCAAUUUAGAUACACUGAUCUUCAAAUUGAUUGACGAAUCUUUAGAAUUCAAAAUUUAAAUCAAAUACGCGUGUUCAUAGUUAAUUGGUAAGUACACUUUUUUUUNAUAUAAAUAUAAUUGACUCGAGAUCUCUGCUACUUACGCAUACUUCGCUCGAGACAAAAAUAAAUAAUUGAUCAUUGAGAACUCCGCUACCACACCAUACUCGUGUACUAUUUAUCAUUGUUUAUGAUUAUUAAUAAAGACGUGUCUUUGCCUGAUAAAUUUAAUUUUCAUACUCUUGAUUCUUUUUUGGCCAUAUCAUUUUUUAAAAAAUUGGGAGGGGAAUGGUGGAAAUUGAAUAUGAAAAAUACCAGUCAAAUGAUACAUGUGCACUUUCAAAGACAAAACAUAAAUGUAACCUUCGUUUGUAAAACAUAGAAAUUCUACCAUAUAUUUGUGAUUAUUUUACCUUUAUACGAUCUAUUUAUAUAUAUUUAUUAGAAUUAAUAAAAAUAUACUACAUUCGUCCACGAAAAAGAAUCUCAUUGUGUGCUGGAUGUGAGUCGUAUCGAGAGUGAGAGGGAACACAUUGUCUCCGGUCUCUGCCGUCUUGGCGAGAUCUUCGGCAUUGGCCUGAUCCGGCCGCUGAGGUGGCCGGUAGGUCAUCCAUGGAGUAUGGCUAUAUUCAUACUCGUAUCCCAUUUUGGUUGUAGAACAAGAAGGCGGUGUUGUUGAAAUCGUCGUCGUUGAUAUCCUUUGGAAAACCGGCUGGGAUAGUUUUCGCCAUUAGAGUGAUGUGCGUAGAAGAGAGGAUCUUCCGGCGGUCUUCGCGGAAACCGUUGUCGCGUGUCCAUAGUUCAUGGAUUGAAAAUAUGCAGGUAAAGCACCCGGCGUACUCGGCCAUACAAUUAACUCGCCAUCAUGAGCUAUAAUUCUAUUCGAGUAAGUUCAAUCUCUAAUGAAUUAAUAUAUUUUUAUAAAUAUAUAAUUUGCAAAAUAACCUUAAAAUAAAAUAUGUAAUAAGGGUAAAAUAGGCAAUCCACAUGUUGUGCUCAAUGCUCUUUUUAUAUUACUAGGAGAAAGAUAAUUAAUGUUAUUUUAUCUAAUAAAAUAAAAAAUAUAAAUAUAAUAUUUAUUAUAUUUAAAUUUUUAAUUAACAAUUUUGUUUAUUUAAUUCUCUUAUCUCUUACAAUAUUUUUUUUUAGAAAAUCUAUUAGUUCAUUACUUCGACUAAAUAUAAUUUAUUGGAUAGAUAUAUUUAUUUAUAAGCCUUAUCAAUAGCUAUAGAUAUAUAUUACAUAGAUUUAAUGUAAUAUUUAAUGAAUCAAUAGCUCUUUUCUUUUAUAUUAGUAUAGAUUAUAUAGAUAGAUAUAUAUAGUGCAUGCAUGAUAAUGUUGAUUGAUCAUCGUAACUAUAUAAUUUAUUGCACUAAUAAUGAAUCACGUUCCCACUCGAGGUAUAUAAAAUGAAUCAUGUGACCUUUUCUACUACCCGACACAUUUUGCUCCUUGGAAUAUUAUUUAUAAUUGUGUCUAUUGUAUAGUGCAUGCAUGAUAAUGUUGUUUAAUCAUCAUAAAUCUUCAUGGCUCAUCCACCUCAUCCAAUCGAAGCAUAUAAUGAACCAUGUGAUCAUAUCUACUACCUGACACAUUUUGCUUCUUGGAAUGCUAGCUAUAAUUGUAUCUAUUGUGUGAAUGUAAGCAAAAGGGCGCGCACAAUUUUUUAUUUUUUUUUGGAUAGGUGACUCGCUCAAAAUACCUAUUGAAUUGACUCGUAAUCGCACGAGGUCAUUCUAGCGUAGUAAGCUAACCCAUGUCGUAUCUCACAAGGAAGAUUAAGCAGGACGACUAAUUUUGGAUUAUUUUUAAUCAAAUGUUGGAUAUUUUUUAAUUAGAGUAAAAUUAAAAUAAGUAAAUUAUUGUAUAUUUUCAGAUUCGGAAACUAAUGGCUUUAUUUUAAUUUAAUCAUUUUCAUAUGUCAGUUAUAUUAUGUAAAUGACGUUUUUAGUAACAAACAAAUGACAUUUUAAUCAAUAAAUGAUACUUUUAUCAAUAAUAAAUGAAACCAUAUUAAGGUAAAUAGGGUAAAGGUUAGACUUAACUGUGAAAGCAUCAUGAGUUUUAUGUGUAACAUUUUCGGUGUGAAAAUUGAUGAGUUAAAAAAAAUGCUCCAUAUUGAAUUCGACAUUAGAUGAAUCUACAGUAGAUUUUCAUGCAUGAUCUAAGAGCUGAAAAUGAUUCACGGUCUAUAUUUAUUCUAUCAAAUUCCAUAUCACUUUAAAUCUCAAAUUACAUUUGCACUAUAUAUGAUUAUAUCCUAAAUUAUCAUAAAUAUGAACCGCUUAAAUCUGGCGUCGUUGCACCGCGGACAUCUUGCCGCUGCUUUCUCCCACCAUUGCCCUUGCUGCCCUCAUCUUAGGUGCCAAUUUUUUGCUCGUCGUGCAGAAUUUGAAAGGGGUAAAUUAUUUUUUCAAUUUUUUAUUGCAUUUUGCUGUCUAAGUUGAUUUCUCAAGUAAAGUGGACUUGGGUUUUGUUUCGAUUAUAGCUGAAUUCGAUGGCGCUGUGUGGUUAGAUCUGUAAUUUUGACGUGUUGUUGAAGUGUGCGGGAUUGAAUGUGAUCUGGGAGAAUUUAAGGGUUUUGGGACGUUAGUAUGAUGAUGGUGGGAUUUGAAUGAAUUUGAAUACCAGAUUAUGGUUGAUGUUUAAUUAUGUGAAUCUUGCGAUCUGUGUUGAAAUUAAUGUACAGUAUCUUCGCCUAGCCGGGGGUUCACCAUUUGGUUCCCGACCGUCCUGCUGCCUUCACUCCACACUCAAGUGCCAAUAUCUUCUUCUCGUUUCUCUUCCUUCUUCUUCUCCUCUUAGUACCUGCAAGACAGAAGGAAAAACCAGCAAGUAUAAAGAAAAAUCAGAAAACUUAAAGAAGUAAAGAAAGAAAGAAAACAAAGGAAACUCGAGGUGGGAAAAAGGUGUCCUCGGGACACAGGUGGCUCAGAUUUUUCCCACAGUGGCAACACACUCCGGCAGCUCAAAGACCACGGCACAAAGGGGAAGGGAAGUCAGAUCGGAGCUCAAAUCUGACGAGCACAGCCACCAAUAAUCAGGAAUCCGGUGGACAGGAUUCCGGCGGCUCAGAAAUCCUUCGCUUUAUCACCAAACAGGAAAUCUAAGGUCAGCAAUCCGACAAUAAUGCUAUCAACAGGAGGAAGCUCUCACUUUACGGCCACAACACCGGAAACCAGAACGGAAACCAGAGAACAGAAGGAAUAGCAGAGCCUUCAAGGUUGUGAACAUACUACAGAACUUCCCCCAAUCGAUUGCUUUAUAACCGAGACAGAGAAGGGUCGGGAAGAUGUAGUGGGCUUUGGGAAGGAGGAGGAAGCCAUUAAUGGUGGUGGAGCUCGAGGGAAAGCGAGAUCAGCAGUCGUGAAGACUUAGGGUUUGGGAGGGGAUUUGAGGUGGAGCGGCGGAGGUUGAAAUGAGGGAAAGGCCGAGUGAGAGAGGGAGUAUUUCAGUGGAUAAUGGGCUAGGGUAUUUUUGAGUUAACGGGCUAUAGGUGUCUGGGCCCAAAAGUUGGGCCAGAGAAGGGAUAAAGAGCAUUGGGCCAACAUUCCACAAUUAAGACAAUUAAGAGUAGAAAUUCUUCUUGAUUUGCUAAUUUAUUUAGGAUUAGCGAUAUUAGUUUGGAGUUUUAGAUGUCGAUUGAUUUCGUGAUCUUGAUUUAUGUGAUAAAUGCCUCUCAUCACUAAGAUUUGGAAUAUAUUGGAUAUCUAGGAUAGUGAUAUUAGUUUGGAGUUUUAGAUGUUGAUGUGUCUUUUUAGGCUGCGUUUACUUUGAUGGAUAAAUUUAUAUAUGGAAAAGGAUGGAUAACACAAAUUUAUGCUUUUAAAUGUCUCCUUCCUCUUCCAACAUUUGACACAAAAAGAGAUGCUCGCUAUUUUUUCUUCCUUAUCUUCACUUCAAGGAUGGAUAAUAUUAUCCCUCCAUUUUGGUGUGAUAAUAUUAUCCAUCAUUGAAGUGAAGAUAAGGAAGGAAAAAUAGUAGAGCAUCUCUUUUUGUGUCAAAUGUUGGAAAAGGAAAGAGACAUUUAAAGGCAUGAAUUUGUGUUAUUCAUCAUUUUCCAUAGAUAAAUUUAUCCAUCAAAGUAUACGAAGCCUUAUGUGAUAAAUGCUUUUUUAGGGGGGCCCACGGGCAUGCUGCCCCAUAUGCUAUGGAGUAUGGACCAUGGUGGCUCGGUCACUGCGCUCUCGAUUGCGAAUUAUUUUGCAUUAUCUUUGUUUGUUUUUCUUAUAUUGGGAAAGAAAACAUAGAGUAAUAUAUAUUUUAGAAGUCCAGUUACCAAUGUCGUCAAUCUCGAGUGAAAAUAAAUAUUACCAUAACACAAAAAUGACAAAGCUAUUGAUUAGUGACGAUAUGUUAGAAGUUCAGAUAAACAACACAUUUAUUCUUGUGUAUAUUAUAUUAACGUUUAUUAUAUAUUAUAAAAAGAACAUAUUCUUUCAAAAUUAUCUUGUCUAUUUUUAGAAGUUCAGAUAAACAACACAUUUUCAGAAGAAAUUUAAUAAUCUCUUACGAUUUACAUAUAAUUUUUAAAUAAUUAAUUAUCUCAGUGGUGAUAAAAUAAAAAAACGAAGUAAUUUAUUAUAUACAAAAUAUUAUGAUUUAUGUUUGUAUAUUAUUUGUUUCCAUUAGUGCAUUAUCAUUUCUAAGUAUCUUCUCACUUGUUCACUGAUUCACUAUUGGAUUAACAUGAAUAUACGAAUUUCAUAGUAUACCAACCGUUCGAUAAAAGUCCUCAAAGAAAUCUUCCAUAGAUAACCUUGCAAAAGUACGUGUAUCUAUAUUAAUAGAAUAAGAGCCUAAGGAAUCUUAAAACACAAUUUUUGGAUUGCCUAUUUUACCACUAUUAUAUAUUAUUUUAAAAUUAUUUUACAUAUUAUAUAUUAAUAGGAAUAUAUUAAUUCAUUAGAUAUUACACUAAAUCUAUGUGAUAUAUUUCUAUAGCUAUUGAUAAGGCUUAUAAAUAAAUAUAUAUCCAUCUAAUAAAUUAUCUAAUAAAAGUAAUGAAUUAAUAGAUUUUUUAAAAUAAUAAAUUAUCAAAUAAAAUAACAUUAAUUACACACGUACGUUCUUUCUGCUAGCUAGUUAAAUAAAAAGAAGAAGAAACUGAGACUGAAAAAGGGAGAAUUAAGAUAGUCCAUUAUUAUCGUCUUAUUUUUAGAACUUAAACGAGAGAAAAGUCCAUCGCUAGUCCUAAUUUACAACACAACACAACACAUGAUAAUAAAUUUAAAUCACACAUAUUGCCGGAUGUACCCUUCCUCCUCUUUGCCGGCGGCGGCAUGCACGAGGGUGGACGUGAAAUACCACGAGACGAUGUCGUGCACGGCGUCUUGGCCUCCGGUGGCCGCGGAGAUCCCGACCUGAACCUGCUGAGGAAGAAUGGCGCUCAGGUCGUACACAUAGCUCACCUCGUAUGUUUGCGAGCCGGCGGCGAGGCUCACGCUGAUCAGCUUAGUGGCUUCCAGGUAGUUGAUGCGCGCAGUCACCUGCUGCCCGAGCAACGCGUUGCCGACGUUGGUCACGUUUUUGGAAACAUUAGAUUCGAUGUCGAUCCCGAUAUGGCGAUAGCUAGGAUCCACUCCGGGGUUGGAGAAGACGUCGAAUUCCACGGCGAAGACGGCGGGGCCGACGCCGGAGGAGUUGAAGAUUCCGAAGCAGCCGCCGGUGAAGCCGAGGGGUAAGCCGACGGGGGCGAUGAAGAAGGUCACGCCGUCGGCGGGGUUCGUGUCGCCUGCGUUGGGGGUUACGGCGAACGUCAGGGUGGUCUCGAAGUCGACCUGCGCGCCGGCCUCCCAGAACGUGAUCGGGGCUGAGUACACGGCCCGGCCGACGCUGUACUGGACCGCGCUGCCGGAGCUGGUGGUGUUGGUCAUGCGGAGGAAGGUGGAGUCCGACGGGAAGUGGGCGUCGCCUUGGUAGAGGAGAUCGGUCGGCUGGUCGCCCCAGAAGUCGUACGUGAAGGCUGUCGAUUGGGACUGCAUGCGCCGUGUUGGCGGCGGUGGCGAGGAGGAGGGCGAUGGAGAUUAGGGUUUGGAGAAGCUUGGCCAUGGCUUAAUUGAGUUAGUAGUAUUUGCUUUGGAUGUGGUGUGAUGAUGGUGUAUUGGUGUUAACUCUUGCUCCUAUUUAUGCUAGUAUAGUGCUUGAAUGAAAAUGUUAUUUAAAUUAACAUCAUAUUUUUUAUUACACAAAAAUGACUCACCCCAUCUUCUCGAGAUUAACUGAACUUGUGAUCUCUAAUAAUUUAUAACCUACCACAUUGUAGUUGUUGGAGUAUACUCCCUCUGUCCCGGUUUUAGCACGAGUUUUAAUAAAUUGGUUGAUUGUAUUAUGAGUAGAAUAAGGAUAAUAUUUUUUAUGGAAGUGUUAAAAUAAUUAAAAUUGAGAAAAUGUUUCACCUAUUUUUAUUAAAAAUAGAAAUGAAUUUUAAAAUAUGGGACGACGGCCAGAAAAAGAAAAUAUAUAUGGAUACUAAAAGUUGGGACGGAGUGAGUAUUAUCUAUAGUGGUAUCUAUUGUAUGAGUACAAGAGAUUUACUUGACUUGUUGAGGUAUGGAGAGAUUAUUACAAACCACGUGAAAUUGAGUUCUUGCUCCCACUGUAAAAGCAAUAAAUAUAGGGAAAAGAAAAUUAAUACUUCCUUCGUCCAAGAAAUGAGUACACAUAUUUCUUUUUUAGUCCGUUCAUGAAAUGAGUACUCAUUAAUUUUUCUUUUUAUCAAGUGUACCUCACACAACCCUUUAAUUAAUUAAUACCUUUAAAAAGUGGGUCCCUUAUUCCACUAACACCACACUCAAUCAUUUCUUAAAACCUGUAACGUCCCCAAAUGAGAUUCAUUUCGUGGAUUGAGUAAAUUCUAUACUACAAAUUAAUGGUUCGAAUUCACUUUAAAAAAUAAACUACAAUUAAGAGUCCCUCUCUUAAUUGGAAUUCAUAGACCAUCUGCUUCAGUCGUGCCCGAAGACAGAAAAGGUUUGGAUUGGAAUUCAUAGGUGGCUAGGGAAUAAAAGCAGUGUGGCCUCAAUCAUUGAAGCACACUUCGAUUUGUUCACAAAUCUUGACAAAGGAAAGGAAGGUCGAUUUUUCUAGCGACAGUAUGGGUCUAUACCAUUUGGUUGCUGUGGAAAUGACGUAACGAGAGCAGAUUUGAGGGCAAGACUUGGGAGAUCAAUGACGUGAUCGAAGAAGUGAAAGUGAGGAUGUGGAGUUGGAACAAGAUUUUUGGACUACAUGUUAAAGAGAUUAGCUCUCAAUCUUGGUUUUCUUGUGAAACUCCUCUUGUUUUGUGUAAUUUGGUCGUAUCUCUGGUACCAAACUCUCUCCUAAUAAAAUUUCUUUUCUGAUUAAAAAAAAAAAAAAGAGUCCCUCUCUUAAUCAAGUAGACUGGAUGCGGUAAGAGAGAAAUCACUUCCAACUUAUCGAUUUUACUAGCAACAACUAGAUUUAUACUGAAGCUAAAUUGGAUCAGACUCUAGGAUUCACUAGUCUUUUACUCAAGGUGAGUCGGUUUACGAGUCUCAAACUCAAGGUGAACUAGAAUGUCUGUCAAUACGAACGUUGGGAGUUCGAGGGUUUUUUAGGACAGUAACUUAGAUUGAUUUGGAAAUUAGGACAAUAACUUUCGGACUUGUAAAAAUAGGACUCUAAUUCUUUUUAAGAGUAAAAUAGGACACUAAUUAAUAAGUGUUACAUCCGCAGGACAUUUUUCGGCCAAUUAUCGGCCGAGAAAUGUCCUACUUUUACGACGCUUAUUAAUUAGUGUCCUAUUUUUACAAAUUCGAAAGUUUUGUCUUAAUUUUCAAAUCAACAUAAGUUAUUGUCCUAAAAAAUCCCCUGACUCCGAACGUUGGAACAAGCUCGGCAAUAUACUGCUAUUCAACAUUAAUGGCACUUUGCACUAAAUGAAUUGGUGUCGAAUUAAUACAUCGUCUUGCUGCUCAUAUCUAUAUAAUAAAUGCAUACCUGCACCUCGAUAUUAAUCAAUUUAGAUACACUAAAUCUCGGAUAUACUUAACAAAUGGAUUAAUAAAUGUAUAAAUUUUAGAUUUCAGAAAAUCAAAUACAGGUGUUCAUAAGGAAAUGAUUAAAAACCCGUGUGUCAUUUAGAUAAGAUUAUUAUAGUACAGUUAACGAUGGUGAAAUAUUCUUUUACAUUAGAUAUAAUAGCAUUCCAGAUCUCAAUGGCAUUUUUUGUUAUAACAAAAAAAAAUUGUAUAUGUUCCAUACUAUCCUCAAACUUCAAAUUAUUAUUUUUCUUUAUUUUAAAAUUUGUAUUGGCACAUAUCUGUCAAUUAAUCAAAUUCAUAUCAAAACAAUAAUUCGAAUGAUAUAUUAGUUGGCUAGCUAUAAAUUACAAAUUAUUAGUGAUUAGGCAUGUUUUACACAAAUUAUUAGCCCAAACAACAUUUGAUUGUGUGCAAUGCACACACUUACUAAAAGCAGAUGUGAUCAUCUGUCCCACAAUUUAGUGUGUAUCACCGUGUACCAUUCUUAAUUUGUCUAUUUUAUAAUUAUUUGUUGUAAAAAUAAAAAAAAUAUUGUUAUAUUAUGAACUCUAAUUAAAAUUUAUAACUAAAAAUAAAAAUUAAAAAAAAUUAUAUACCCUAACUUUGAAUUAAUUAACCCAAAUAAUCAAUUAUUAAUUCAAAUAAAUAUAAAAAAUAAUUAUAAACUCUAAUUGAAUGAGUGAACCCUUAUUAAUUAGUUUCUUAUUAUAUUAUAAUAAAUUAAAAUUGAAGAAAAUAUAAUUAUAUAUUAUAAUAAAUUAAGAGUGGUACACGGUGGUACACACUAAAUUGUGGGACAGAUCCAUGUGCACUAAAUUAUAGGUACGGAGGUGCGGAUGCGGGGGCGAUACGAUACGAGUACGGGGAUACGGGUUCUAAAAAAUUAUAGGGUGCGAUUCGGCAAGGAUACAUCUAAUUAUUAAAAUUUUAUGAUAUACUAAUUGUUAGAAAUGGAUAUUGGGCCAAUUCCUCCCUUAAAAGGCCUUAUAAGGGAGAGGGUUACCUCACCAUAUAAAGUGGCUCAUGCCACUAUCUCCAAUCCAAUGUGGGACACUUCAAUACUAAUGCUUAUAAAAUAUAUACAAUUUAAAUUUUCUUAAAUUAAUUAUAUGUAAUUUACAUUUUAUUUUACCCAAAAGUUAAGCAUUUUCAAUUAUAUAAGUUAAUUGAGCAACAAUAUAACGAUUCAAAUAUUAUUAGUCCAAUAUAUAAGUCAUAACUGAAAAUAAAAUUAUCAAAAUAACCUUGUGUAGGCCUUUCGUGCACGAGAUACGUGAAUUUCGCCUAUGGAAUUUGCAAAUCCGGUUUAUUUUUAUAAAUUGUUUUAAAAGAUACGCACUGGUGAAUCGGUGCGAAUCCGACAAGAAUUCGAGAAAUCACACCCUAAAAGAAUCCGAUUCGCCGUACAUCUAAUUUUUGAAGAAUCCGUGCAUCAUAGGUGAGAAGAAACACAAGAGAGUAAAAUGGUACAUAAUGUAGAAAGACUUUUCUCCAAAAUAAAUGUUACAGUCUUCUAAUAGUCGAAAGGCGCAUGAAAAUGCGCAGUUAUUCGAAAGAAAGGAAAGGCUUAUUCAGCCACACAAUGACAUGGAAUUCGAAUUGAAAUUGAAAUUCAGACAAAUCCCAAACACGGUGAUGCAGAGAUCAAGCGGUAACACGAGGAAUGAUCUUAAUACCACCGAUGGUAACUUCGUCGCCGUUAAUGUGGGGAACGAUGGUGACGACAAUGAAAUCAUCAUCAGCAAUAUUGAUGUUCUCAUAGAGCUCCCUCAAGUUCAAGCGAAGGUCGUUGGCGCUUUCCGCAGCCCUAACCCUAUGCGGAAUCUGCGUGAAACUGCCGGCGAACUCGGCCCUGGCGAGGUCCUCUGGCUUGUCGUCUUCGUCAUUCACGAACACAUCGAACCUCACGAGCUUCGAACUAUCGGUGAUUAUGUUCUCCAGCACGAGCACUUCGUCGGCUUUGCCUUUGGUUGGUUUGGGCACCAAAACCCUGUGAGUCUUGUUGAGAGUGAGAGGGAACAGAUUGUCUCCACUCUCUGCCCUCUUGGAGAGAUCUUCGAUAUUCACCGGCACCUCCCUCCGCGGUGGCCGGUAGGCUGUCCACGGAGUUUCGCUGUGUUCAUACACGUAUCCCAUUUUGGUGUGGUCCAAGCAGUCGGCCACCUUGACGCGCACGAGGUUCUUCUUCUCGUCGUAGAACAUGAACGCCGCGUUGUUGAAAUCGUCGGGGUUGGGGACGACGAGGUCGUUGAUAUCCUUGGGGAAAACGGAUGGGAUAGUUUUCCAUAUGGUCCACAUUCUGUCGACGUUAGCGUGAUGUGCGUAGAAGAGAGGGUCUCUUCCGGCGGAGUAGAAGUUCCCCAUGUCUUCGCGGAAAUCGUUGGCGGGGUUUCCGGUCCAGACGUGGACGCCGCCGUGUGAGCCGCCCUCCGACAAUCCUCCCUUGGCGCGUGGCGGGGGCAAGUCCCCGGAAACGUAAGGAUCGCCCAUGAAGUCGAUGGCGGAUUCGACAUCACCAAUCAUUUCCUUGUACAUCUGAGUGAGAUUGUUUUCGAUGAUCGUUACAGGAUCGGUGAUCGGGGGGGUGGUUAUGGCAAGAGCAACGAGGGCCGGGGGGCGAUGCGUUGGGUCGCGGUUGACGUCGUAGAGCGGGGAUUCUUCCCUGUCGAACGGCCUGGGCAUCUGCAUACCCCUAGGGUUGUCCCAGUUCCAGUAGGGCAGGGCGAAAUCGGGAUCUCCGAUGAGUUCGCCCAUGAUCCUCUCGAAGAAAUAGAGGUACCACCUGUGGAAGGGGUGGAUCCAGAAUUUGUCAUUAGGAGGGACUAAAUUUGUUGAAGCAUGACGUCUCAAAUUAUUAGCCAAUUUUUUUUAGCAUUCCAUACAGUUCAUUUUUUUGUCGAACUACAUUCGAUUAAUUCAACAACAAGAACAUUGAAAGCAUAUAAAUACUUACCUCUCAAAAAUUGUUUCAUCUUCUAAGAAGAUAAGCUAAUUUUCAUCAUGGCAGUUCAUAAUUUUAAUUUAACUUGAGGAUUGACUCAAAUUCAACACUGAGAAUCAACUAAGAAAGGAAAGUAGACAAAAAUAACAUAAAUUUAACAAACUAACAUAUCAAAUUUAAAUCACUAUAAAAUAUUAAACAGUUAAAACGUGGAUACUAUAAUUAAUAAAACAAUGUAUUUUAUUAUCUCUUGUAUUUCUUAUCUAUACUAAUAGAAAAAGAGUCUAAGACAGUCUAAGGCACAACUUGUGGAUUGCCUAUUUUACCCUUAUUAUAUAUUUAUUAUUAUAUUUACAAAAUAUAAAUCUAUUUUGAUAAAUAUUUAUUUGUCACUCAAAUCUAUAAAGAAUACUUUAUAUCUAUAGCUAUUGAUAAGGCUUAUAAAUAAAUAUAUUCAUCCACAACGUACGUUCUUUCUGCUAGUAUAUAAUAAAAACAAAAACAAAAAACUCAAAAUUUGGGAGGCGGUCGAUCCGCUGCUAACCUGUGGAAAGGGAAGAAGAUCCAUGAGUUGUGAACCUGGAUAUCGAUGCCGGGGUGGUCCACCUGGUCGUAGGGGCCGUUGCAGUAAGCGCAGUGGAUGUUGGCCUGCUGAGUGAAGCCACGGGGAUCGUCGGGGUCCGUCACGUCCAGUUCCUUCAUCUUCUGGAUGGCCAACUCAUACUUGCGUACGUAUUCCGGUGUCAGCCUGUGCGCCGCCGGCCUAACGCGAGGUUUAGUGAACCUCGGAAGCUUGUAGUCGCUCUGAACGUCGGUGUAGGGCGGGCAGCAGUUGACGUCUAGAGAUAUUACCUCUUGGUUUCGAGUGGUGUAGGCACCUUCGGGGUCGCAGGUGCUCAGGUCAGGAGGCAAAAUCGGAAGCGCCUCAGCUUUGCGGAUGGCGCUGCCUGCGCCGUAUAGACCGCCCAGCCCAAGCAGCAUGUUUCUGCGGUCUAUACGGCCGCUGCCACCGCCACCGCUGCUGCAUGACACCUGAAAGCGGCCGUGGCUCCGCCGGCUGCUGAGCUGGGAGGGCUUGCGAAAUGGGGAGUUGGUGGCGGCGGCGAUCGCCGUGAAUGAAGAUUGAAGGGAAGCCAUGUUUGAGUGAUUGAUUGAUGGUCGUUGUGAUUACCUGGGGAGGCAUGUCUUUAUAUAGCAGAUGUGACACGAGUUUUAAGAAAAAUAAAUUAUCCGUUGAAUAAUUAAAUCGCCAUGUUUCUAUAAUUUAUUCCUAAUGGAUCUAGUCAAACUAAUCGUGCAAUAUUUAAUAAACCACGCAGCAUCAUUUCCGAGACUAAUAAAUGACAUUUUGAACCAGCUAAUCAAUUCCAUAUAAUUAACCAUUUGCGAGGCUGGCUGCCCUUCACUAAAUGGUUGUAUGCACUUGUCUUUGGAAAAGCUGUUUGGCCAUAUUAUGGCCAGUCAUAAUAUGGGAAAAUAUUAUAAAAGUCAUGUAUUUAAUUUUUUAUAUUUAAAAUAAAAAUAGGAUUUUAUUAGUUUUAUUUUUUAUUACAUAUUUUAGCUAUUUUUUUUUAUAAUUUUUCUGAAUUUUUUAGAAAAAUAAAAAAUAAAAUUACAAUGUGAACAAAAUUAUAAAACUAAUAAUGGUAGAGCAGCGGAGGGCACAGGUGAAGGGCAUGGCGGCGGUGUACUUAUUUUAGUCAAGUAAUUAUUAUUGCACGAAAAAAUAAUUAUUAAUAUAAAGAAAGAUAAUGUUUCAAAGACAUUAUCUUUCUUCAUGUCUAUUAAUUUUUCAUCACAAUAAUAAUUACUUCGAAUUAUCCGUGUUUUCAAUCGUGCGACCUGCACCCAGCCCGACCCGACCCGUUUCACCCAUAUAGUCAGUCUCACCCAAGUUUUUGCCUAAAGAUAAGUAUUAAUUAGUUGUGUAUGGUGAUAUGAGUCUUGUUUGUAUAAAUUAGUAGGCCUUUAAUAAUGAAUUGGCCCAUCUCAGGUGGUUUAUAUAAUUUACUCGUAUGGAUCUAAAUACAACUAAUCAUGAAAUAUUUAAUAUACCACGGAGCAUCUUUCUGAUAUACUAUUUAUAUAGUAAUUUAUUCCUAAUGGAUCUAAUCUCUGACUAUUUAAUAAUUAACUCGCCAUCGUUUAAAUAAUUUACUCCUUAUGGAUACACUCAAAGUAAUCGUGCAAUAUUUAAUAUACCACGCAGCAUCAUUUCUCAUACAAUAUUUUGGACCAUCUAACCAAUUACAUAUAAUUAAACCUUUUGCCAGGGUGGCUGUCCCUUCCACUAUAUGGUUGCAUGUAUUGAAUUGAAAUUUUAUUGAGGAAAAAAUGAAAAGAAAAACUAGGAAUUCAUUGAUAGCACGAAGACGCUAAUUAAGGGCUGAGCCUCAUCAAAACCUUUCCGAUAAAAAUCCAGUGAAAAAAACCACCAGCAAAGGAAAAAGAGUACCAGUCUAUUACAAUAAAAAAAUGAAGAACAAACUCAAGACAGGAACAACGAGAAGCACGAGAGGAUGAUAAAACAUCUAACCCGAAAAAAAAGACCCAAACCAAAGGAGCCUGACAAAUCCGGAGCCAGUACCAGCGCACCAGGAAACUGAAAAAGUUCUGGAGAAGCCACUUCGACCCAAGCACGCCAACCAUCCAAAAGAAACGACUACCACACCCACACCUAGGCCAAGAAAUAUAUAAUAUUGUGAAUAGUUCCCAUGGGAUCGAAACAGACCACCAAAACAAGAAAAAACCUCUAAGAGCAGACUACUCAUUGCCUGCCUGCCUAGUAUUCGAUGAAAUACCCAAACCAGAAAUCAUAGCAUAAAGCAAAAACCGCCACAGCUGGGGAGCGAAGAGCAGAAGGCCACCAAUAAGAUACAUUAGGAUUGCGCAAAGUCUGACAAAGAAAUCAGAAAACUUACCAGACCACUCUAGUUAAUGUAAUCUAUACAUGUCCGCACAUGAAAUUUGGUCAAGUUAGAUACACUAAUCUCAAAUCUAUUUAAUUAACAAAUUGAUUGAUUGAUAUUUUUUUCUGAGAGAAAUUGAUUGAAUAAUUUUUAGACUUCAAAAACUAAUAGUUAAUUGAUUGUUUAGAUAAGAUUAUUAUUACACUUUUAUAUAGAGAUAAUUAGUACUUGAGAUAUGUGCAAUUUACGCAUUCUUCUCUCGAGACAAAAUAAAUAUUAUUGACCAUUGAGAACUCUGCUACCACUACUCCAGUUCUAUUUAUUAUCAGUGUGCCCUCUCGCGCGCUGCACGGGUCACAACAUAUUUGAUUAUUUAAUUUUAGCUGUUUACGCAUACUUCGCUCGAGACAAAAAUAAAAUAAGAUUUAUUGAUCAUUGAGAACUCAGUACCACACCAUACUCGUGUAUACUAUAAUAUUUAUCAUUGUUUAUGAUUAUUACGUGUCUUCGCCGAUAAAUUUAAUAUUCAUUCCUUUAAUUUUUUUCUAUUGACAUUGGAAACUGUCUUGAUUCUUUUUUGGCCAUAUCAUAUAUUUAAAAAAUUGGGAGGGGAACGUGGAAGUUGAAUCUGAAAUAAGAAUCAAAUGAUACAUGUGUACUUUCAAAGAUAAAACGCAAAAUAUAUCAUUUUUUUGUAAAACAUAUAAAUUCUACUAUUUAUGAUUAUUUUAAAUUUAUAUAAUCUAUAUUUGUAUGUAUAUAUAUUCUCCAUUUGUUCAUGAAAAAGAGUCUCAUUGUAUGCUGAAUACGAGUUUUAAUAAAAUGGUUGUAAGUGUGAAAUAAAUGUAUAAUUUGUAAGAGUCUUUACAUUAGAUUAUAUUUUACUCUCUUCGUCCUAUUGAUAAUGACUCACUUUUCUUUUUCGUCUGUCUCAUUGAUAAUUGCAUGUUCCAAAAAAACUGAAACCAUUUGACCUCACAAAAUGUUGUGGGCUCCACUACUUUUUAUCACUUUUAUCCUUUAAUUACUAUUCUUAUUAAUAACCGUGUCGAACAGUAAUGAACUAUUAUCAAUGGGAGGGAGGGAGUAAUAUUUUAAUUUUGUUUGCUGCCACCACCACCACCACCACCACAAUUUAAAAAAAAAAAUCUACGUGAAUAUAGUAAUUAUUAGAACAAAAAAAUAACUAUAAUAAUAAUAUAUUAAUCCGUUAAUUAUCUAUACUAAUAUAAAAAGUGCAUUUGGCACAAAAUAUAUAUUGCCUGUUAUAUCCCUAUUAUAGUAUUUUAUUUGAAGGACAACUUUGUAAAUUAUAUAUUAUAUAUUUAUAAGAAUAUAUUAUUUCAUUAGAUAUUACACUAAAUAUAUUUGAUAUAUAUCUAGAUCUUAUGCUAUAAUUUUUUUUAUAUUAAUUAAUUAUUAUAUAUUGUGAUUUAAUAGAAUUAUACAACUCUAAUAAUUUAUAAAUGUAAAGUUCAGGGAUUGCAUGCAAUGCACACAUUCUAUGCUAGAAAAAAAAUAGAAUUCACUAAGCCGAUGAUAAAUAACACAUACAACGUACUAUUUCUGCUAGUAAAUUAAAAAUCUAUAUGAUUUUAUCUUCUAUCACUACAUUAAUUAAAAUCUAUCUUCCGUUUCAUAUUAACGGUGGUUUUUCAAUAUUUUUUAUAUUAAUUACUACAUAUUGUGAAUUUAUUACAAUUGUUAACCUCUAACAAUUCAUUAAUAUAAAGUUGAUGGAUUGUGUGUCAUGCACAAACUCUCCUGUACUCAUCUAAAAGACUCUAUAUGUGAGAAGAAACCGCAGGAGAGUAAAAUGGUACAUAACAUAGAAUAGAAAGACUUUCACAAAAUAAAUGUUACAUUCUUCCCGUAGUCGGAAGGAGCAUGAAAAUGCGCGGUUAUUCGCAAGAAAGAAAGGCUCACUCAGCCACACAAAACAUGGAAAUCCUAAACACGGUGAUGCAGAGAUCAAGCGGUAACACGCGGGAUGAUCUUAAUACCACCGAUGGUAACAUCGUCGCCAUUAAUGUGGGGAACGAUAGUGACGACAAUGAAAUCAUCAUCAGCAAUAUUAAUGUUCUCAUAGAGUUCCUUCAGGUUCAAGUGAAGGUCGUUGGAGCUUUCCGUGGCCCUAACCCUGUGCGGAAUCUGCGUGAAGCACCCGGCGUACUCGGCCCUAUCGAGCUUCUGUGGCGUGUCGUCUGCAUCAUUCACGAACACAUCGAACCUCACGAGCUUCAAGCUAUCGCAGAUUAUGUCCUCCAGCACCAGCACUUCGUCGGCUUUGCCUUUGGUUGGUUUGGGCACCACAACCCUAUGAGGCUUAUUGAGAGUGAGAGGGAACACAUUGUCUCCGGUCUCCGCCGUCUUGGCGAGAUCUUCGGUAUUGACCGGUUCCGGCCGCUGAGGUGGCCGGCAGGUCAUCCAUGGUGUAUGGCUAUAUUCAUACUCGUAUCCCAUUUUUGUGUGGUCCAAGCAGUCGGCGACCUUAACGCGCACCAGCUUCCUCUUCUCGUUGUAGAACAUGAAGGAGGCGUUGUUGAAGUCGUCGGGGUUGGGGACGACGAGCUCGUUGAUAUCCUUCGGGAAAACGGAUGGGAUCGUUUUCCAUAUAGUCCACAUUCUGUCGACGUUAGCGUGAUGUGCGUAGAAGAGAGGGUCUCUUCCGGCGGAGUAGAAGUUCCCCAUGUCUUCGCGGAAAUUGUUGGCGGGGUUUCCGGUCCAGACAGCCGCCCUCCGACAAUCCUCCCUUGGAGCGUGGCGGGGGCAAGUCUCCGUCAACGUAAGGCUCGCCCAUGAAGUUGGUAGCGGAUUCGACAUCACCAACCAUUUCCUUGUACAGCUGAUUGAGGUUGUUGGAGAUGAUCUGUACGGGAUCGGUGAUCGGGGGGUUGGUUAGGGCAAGAGAAACGAUGGCCGGGGGCCGAUGCGUCGGGUCGCGGUUGACGUCGUAGAGUGGCGACGCGUCCCUGUCGAACAUCGAGGGCAUCUGCAUGCCCCUAGGGUUGUCCCAGUUCCAGUAGGGCAGGGCGAAAUCGAGAUCUCCGAUGAAUUCGCCCAUGAUUCUCUCGAAGAAAUAGAGGUACCACCUGUGUAGGGAUGAAUCCAGAAUUUGUCGUUAGGGGGGCUAAAUCUAAAAGUAUUUGCAGUGGGGGCUCCCGUCCGCAAGACAAUUUUUUUUAACCAUUCCGUAUAGAUUUAAUUGGCUUAACAUUAGAAAUCAGUCACUUACUAUAAAAAAUAGUUGUUCGCAUUCCAUUAAUUCAACAACAAGUACAUUUAAAGCAUAUACAAACCUACCUCUGUGCAAUUUUUUAAAAUAUUAUUUCGACUUCUAAAAGAAUAAACUAAUUUUCAUUGUUAAUUAAUAGUUCAAAAUUUUAGUUUAUCUUGAAGAUUAACUCAAAUUAAAUAUUCAAUAUUACCUAAUUAAACAAAAAUGAGACAAAAAUAACACAAAUUUUUAACAAACUAACCUAGCAAAUCACUGUAAAAUGUUAAGCAAUUCUUUCUUGUAUUUCUUCUAUAUAUUAAAAACAAAAAAAUUAGGGAGGGGGCUUCAGCCCCCGUGGAUCCGCCACUAACCUGUGGAAGGGGAAGAAGAUCCAUGAGUUGUGAACCUGGAUAUCGAUGCCGGGGUGGUCCACCUGGUCGUAGGGGCCGUUGCAGUAAGCGCAGUGGACGUUGGCCUGCUGAGUGAAGCCGCGGGGAUCGUUGGGGUCCGUCACGUCCAGAUCCUUCAUCAUCUGGAUGGCUUUCUCGUACUUGGCUAUGUAUUCCGGUGUCAGCCUGUGCGCCGCCGGCCUCCUGCGAAGCUUUGUGAACGUCGGAAGCGUGUACUCUUCCUCGUCGUCCGUGUAGGGCGGGCAGCAGUUGGCGUCUAGAGAUAUUAUCUCCCCGUUUCUAGAAGUAUAGGCACCUUUGGGAUCACACUUGCUCAGGUCAGGAGGUGAAAUCGGAACCGCCUCAGCUUUGCGGAUGAGGCCGCUUGCGCCGUAUAGACCACCCAGACCAAGCAGCAUGUUUCUGCGGUCUACACGGCCGCCGCCGCCUCCAUCACUGCUGCACGACACCUCAAAGCGGCGCCUCCGCCUGCUGGCGAGCUGGGAGGUGGUGCGGAGGUUGGGGUUGGUCGUGGUCGCCAUCACCAUGAAUGAAGAUUGAAGGGAAGCCAUGCUUGAUUGAUUGAUGCUUGCAUUGCGCUCGAGGCAUGCAUGUCUAUAUAUAGUAGGCGUGGACACGAGUUUUAAGAAAAAUAAUGAUACUUAAUGGGAUUAUUUUCGAAAAUGAAUUAGGAAGAUGUUUUGGAGACGAAAAUAGAAAAUUGACCUUUUGCCAGGCUGCCCUUUCACUAAAUGGUUGUAUGCACUUAUCUUUUUUUUAUCUAUAAAGAGGUAUUUUCUCCAUUUAAAAAACUUAUCGAGGUAAUUAUGAAGACUAUUCAUUUUUAUCGUUGUAAAGUUAAUUAAAUUAUAAAAAUUAAAGUUGAUAAAGUUCUUAUUAAACAUCAUCGCUCUUCUGUCUUUGGACGACAAAAUUAAUUAUUUCAAAUAGAUAAAGAACUUGAUUUUCCGAUAUGGCUUCUCAUACUAAUUAAAUAAUCUAAUCCUAUAAUGUAUUUCAUAUAAAGUUAUCAAAUUAACAAUAUUCUGUGUGAAUUUUUUUGCCUUGAGUGUGUGUAUAGAGGUAGUCAGGGCCGGCCCUGAGGGUGGGCGGGCAUGGGCGACGGCCCAGGGCCCCAAAAAUUUGAGGGCCCAAAAUUUUUAAUAUAUCCUAUUAAUUAUAGAUCUUAUGUAUACUAACAACAUAGUUCAUCUAUUGAUUUUGGGCCCAACAUAAUUUAUUCUCAAAUUUAGAUCUAUACUUAAUAUAGAGAGUUUUCAAUUUGAAAUCAAUUUCAAAGUAAUUUCAAAAUUGAGUGACUAUUUUGUAGUUAUAAUAUUAAUAAAAUUGAAGGUUUAUGUUUAAACUAUAUAUUUUUAUUUUUAUUUUUAUUUUCAUUUUCAUUUUCUUUAACUUCUUAUUUGUUGUUACAUUUCUUUCCAAAAUUGUGAAAUUCAAUUAAUUAUAAAAUAUUUAAUAUGCAUAUCAAAUUAAAGAUCACAAUAAGAGUUUUAAUAUGAUAUAUUUUAUGAAAAAUAUUUGAUUUAAAAUGUAAAAUUUAUGCAUGUUCAAAUAUUAAAGUUUUAUAAAUUUCUCUCACCUCUCUCAUCUUUACGAAUAAAUAUAUUUUUAAUUCUUUUAAAUUAGUAUUUUAUUUUUAAUUUUUUUAACUUAUUUUUUUGUUUUUGUAUUUCAUAAUAUCAAAUUUUAUAAUUGUGAAUUCUUUUUUUAUUUUUUUUAAUAUUCAAUUCAAAUAUAUAUAAUUAAAAUUAAUUUUUUAUUAUAUUUAUAAGUAUAAUAAUUAAAUUAGUAUUAAUUUUAUAUAAAUAGUAAAAACAAAAAAUAUUUCCCGUGCAUGAGAUGCAAAUGGUAGUUGCACCUCGCCGCCGGUAAUAUAUUUAAGUAUAUAAAUUAAUUAAUAUUAACAAGGCGCCCGGUGAUCACCGGAGGCAUCCUUGCCGCUGGUAUUUCUGCCGCUACUUUGAAAAAUACGGCCGUCGGUAAAUCUGGCCGCAAAUUGUGUACGUUUUUUGGUAGUGGUAAUAUAUUAGGGCCCAAUUUUUUAAUUUCGCCCAGGGCCUCAGUUUUGUCAGGACCGGCCCUGGAGGUAGUUAUAGAAUUUAUCUUUUGUGUUCUCAAAGGAACUUAAUUAAGAUCCAAUGUGAUUGAUACAUUUCGACUAAAUGGAUGGGCAAGAUUCUUUUAACGCCCAAUAUUAAUUCCAUCUCAAAUCGGAUCUUAUAUAAUACUGUAUUUUAUAUAUUCUAUAAUGCAUUUUAUAUAUUACGUGUCUAUUAAAUUAACAUUGAUCUUAGGAGUGAUACAAGUUUAAAAAAAAGCUAGCUGUAUAUUUGGUGAGUAGAGAAGGGAUUUCAGAAAUUAGAAAAAAUGGUGAUAGGUAGUGGAAUUAUUUUAAAAAAUGGACUAAAAAGAUGUUUCAUGAACGAACGAAAAUGGCAAAAUAGGAAGAUGAGUCGUGGUCGGAGGAAAUAUUAUAAUGCAUCGUAUCCUUUUUUGGUUCGUAUAAAGAUUUUUAUUUGAUCCUCAUCGAGAACAUGCAUAUUGCGAAUACUUAAUUUAUUUCAAUAUAUAUAUAUUAAUUUAUUGGGAGCAUAUGCUAAAUAAAUUAAAUUAAUCCGAAUCAAAAGCGCUUAAUUAUCACUACAUUACAUGCAUUAUGACAAAAAGCCUGCGGCUAAAGAUCUUCAGUUUAAGUCUAUUGUCAUAUUGUUUUUAAAAUAUUAUUUAUCCAUUCCGCAUAUGGAUUGGUCAGAUUUAGAUACACAAAUCUCAAAUGUAUUUAAUUAACAAAUUGAUUGAUAAAUUUUAGAAUUCAAAAAUUAAAUCAAUCAAAUACGCGUGUCCACAGUCAAUGGAUUGAAAAUAUGCAGGUAUCUAGAUAAGAUAUAUUAUUAUUAUUAUUACACUGUUAACUAUACUGCAGUACACUUUUAUAUAUACAGACAUAAUUAAAAUAUGCAGGUAUCUAGAUAAUAAGAUUAUUAUUACACUAUUAACUAUACUGCAGUACACUUUUAUAUAGAGAUAAUUACUAGAGAUAUGUGCUAUUACCCAUACUUCGCUCGAGACAGAAAUAAAUACGAUUGACCAUUCAAUUAAACACUACGACACCAUACUCGUGCAUGUACUAACGAUCUUAUUAUAAGUGCACCUUCCCGUGCGAUGCACAGGUCAGUAGAAUUGUAAUCGAUAUUGAUGUGAAUAUCAUCAUAUUCGAUUCGUAUUUGUGAAAAUACUCUAAUAUUUGAUUCAGCAUUCGAUUCGAUCACGAAUACUAAAUACGAUCCCAUAUUCGAUUCGAUGUUAUUUUUGAAUUAUUUGAUACAUUUUUUAAAAUUAAUUAAAUAAUUUUUUUACGAAUAUUCGAUUCGUUUUCCAUCAUAUUCAAUUCAAAACUAUUCGAUUUGAAAUUCUGAAGGAAAAAAUAUGUUAAAUAAUAUUCUAAAAAAUAUAGGAUUAUAUCCAAUAUAUUUACCUAAUAAUUAAACACACAAUAAUAAAGUGUUCAAUUCAUAUUGUUUUAUGUCCCGUGGUUUGUUUCUAGGAUUGUGGUAAUAAAGACUGAUUGGAUCAGUCUAGUACAGUUGUUGUUUGAAUUUGUAAUUUUGUGUAACGGCAUUGUCAUCUUGUUGAGAUUAAUAGGAGUUAAUUUGUUUAAUUAAUUAUUCAUGAGUUUCUUAUAAGAUACCUUCCUUCGUUCCGUAAAAAUAGUCAUAAUUUUUCAUUUUAGAACGUCCAUAAAAAAAUAGUGUUAUUCCAUUUAUAAACAAUUUAGAUCCUUACCUUUGGGAUGAGAUAAAAUGAAAUUCCAUUUUAAAUCAUAAACUAGCUAUAUAGGAAGCAUUUUCAGCUCUUGAAUUCAUCUGUUGUUCGAAUUUCAUAGGAAGCAAGUUUUUUUGACUCAUUAUUUUCACAGCGAAUUCAUCAUGUUACACAUACCCUAAAGUGAUAUAUUUACCCUAUUUGAUAACAUGAUAAGUAUAUUUGAAGCGCUCACUAUUUUAUUUGAACUUUAUUAUCGAGUUUAAACGAGUUUUGAAAUAUUGAAUUAAAUUGAAAUAUCCAUGUUGAUCGUUUAAGAAGCAAAUUUUUGGCAUGGGUUUAUAAAAAAUACAUCCUAGCCUCCAUCCCUAAUAAGUGCGGUGUGAAGGAGUGGGCAAUAGUUCUUUAAAAAUAAUUGAGAGAUGUGUAUAAAGUGGAUAAAAUGGCUUACUAGAGCUGAUUUGUUAGGCCUUACUUUCUCUCUGCCCCACUAAAAUAAGCUCAAUUCUUUUGAGAACAUAGAUUAAUAAACUUUCUUUUGAGAAGAAAAUUAAAGUGGUGGCAAAAGUAAUGUGGUCCAUACCAAUUAAGCAAUUUGAGUACAUUUUUUUUUUCACUCAAAAGGAAAACGAGCCUAUUCUAGCGGGACAUUCCAAAAUAGAAAACGAGCAUAUUCUGCUGGGACGAGGGAAUAAUAAAUUGUUUGUGAGAUGAGUAGUUUGUAAAUAUUGUGUGUGAAAGGUGUAUGUCUUAAAUUGAAAAGACCAUACCUGUAUUGUGAUUGUACGGAAAGGUGGAACUGAGCAUCGCGGCGGCGGCGAGGCAGGAGGCGGCGGUGGUGAGGAGAAUCGAGAGAGAGAGAGAAAGAUGCCAGCAGACAGUGACGGAGGGCAGUGGGCGGCCCUUGGCGGCAGCGGAGACGACAAGGUACUGGCUGUGCCAGAAUUAUUUAGUUGCAUAGGAUCCUUCCAAAUGUAAUUACUGAUUCACUGUUGGAUUAACAAGAAUUAAAUUACUUCAUAAUACAGUAUUCCAACUGUUCGAUAAAAGCCCUUAAUGAAAUCUUCCAUAGAUUACUUUGCAAAGUUCAUAAAAUUACUCAAAAGCAUUGUUGCAUAGUCCGUACAUAGAGAUGGUCGAUUAUCUUAAUUAUGUCUAGAUUUAUUUACGACACACACACACACACAUCACAAAAUCACACAUACUGACUAAUAAGGUUCCCGAAAGCCGGCAUUAUUAGGCGCCAUGGUGGCCGUGAAAUACCAUGAGACGAUAUCAUGGGUGGUGGGUCCGUCUAGUCUGGUGGCGGCGGAGAGCCCUACCUGAACCUGCUAAGGAAGAAAGCCGCUCAAAUCAUACUCAUAGCUGACUUCAAACGUCUUCGAGCCGGCGGUGGCACGGACGGCGAUCUACUUUGUGGAGGCGGCGUAGUUGAUCCUCGCCGUCACCUGCUGCUCGAGUAUGGAGCCGUCGACCUCCGUCGUGUUUCGGGAUGACCUAGACCCGAUGUCGAUGCCGAUGUGGGGAUAGUUCGGAUCCCACGCGCUGUUGACGUAGGUGUCGAACUCGACGGCAAAUACCGAGGGGUUGCUGCCGGAGGAGCCGAAGAUUCCGAGGUUGGCCCCGCUGGAGCCGGUGGGGAUGGUGGAGCGGCGAGAUUGGUGAUGCUGGGUGUGGUGAUGAAGUUUACGGUGGUUUCAAAGUCGACUUGGCCACCGGCUUGGGAGAAUUGGACCGGGUUCGUGUACAAGACCCGGCCGACACUACCGAUCUGCGGUCGCCUUGGUAGGUGAGGUCGGUCGGCUGGUUGUCCCAGAAGUUAUAGGCGAAGGCCGUUGAUCGGGACUUCGCCCUGUUGGUGGCGACGGCGAGAAGAAGGGCGAUGGAGAUUAGGGUUUGGAGAAGGUUGGCCAUGGCUUAGUUGUGCAGUGAAUGAUGUCUACUACUUGCUCCUAUUUAUAAUGAUCGAAAAUAUCUACUACUUACCUACCACAGAUCCACAUCAGGGGCCCUGGAUGGGGUGGUCGACUACAUAAGCCCAAAAAAAUAAGGGCUCGGAAAAUAUAUAGAUCCAUGUAAGUAUUAUAUAUAUGUAUAAAAUAAUUAAAAGCCAACUAAUGAUUGAAUUGAUUAACUUGGCGCAGUGGAAAAAGGACAUUUUUAAUUCCUCUUAAUUACCAAUAUUUUAUUUAGUGACCAAUUUUUUUGUUUAGAUAUAGGGCCCAGCCCCUAUUUUGAUAAAUUAAGUGUAUGUAUUUCAAAUUAACAUUAUUUUAAGUUGUCGAAUUUUUUUGUUAAGAUUUAGGGUCCAGCCCCUAUUUUGUUAAAUUAACUUUAUUUUAAGUGAAUGACAUAAUUAUUAAUAUAUUUAUUAAUUAUUAUGUAAUUUGAUAAAAAAAUGUUUUAAAUAAUUUUAGUUUAUAAUUAAUUUAUUUCUCAAUUAUAAAUAAAUGGCCUAAAUUAAAAAAUUCGCAAAGGGCCUAUGUUCUCUUAGCCCUACCCUUGCACUGUUGCACAUGGUAUAUAUAUCUAUUCUAUGAAUAUAAGUGAUUAUUUUAUAAACCACGUGAAAGCACUUGUUCCCACUAGCACUAUAAAAGCAAUAAAUACAACGGAAAGAAAAUAAAUUACAAUUGAAUACAUUAGGAGAAAAAUUACUUCUAACCUAUGGAAUUACUAACAACGAUACUUAUACCAAAGCUAAAUUGGACCAACUAACUGUACACUCUUGUAUUAUAUCAACCUACCAGACCUUAGUAUUCACGAGUCUCCCACAGUCUAGACUGAUUCACAAUAUAUACCAACAUUGGAACAAGUUCAGUAAUACACUCUAUUUAUAUAUAUUAUUAUAUACACAAAAAUGCAUGGCUGCUGUGGUAUUACGGAAGGAUCGAGAAUUACUCGAUCCUUGGGAAAAGGUUCAAAUGAAACCUUUAUUAUUACUCUCCGUCCCCCAAAUAAUAUCAUAUCCGAUUUGGGAUAUUACCCCACCACUAAUAAUACUUUAUUUAUUCUAACUUCUCAAUCUUUCACCAUUCUCAAUACUAAUUAUAACACAUUUUCAUCACUUUCAAUACUAAUUAUAAUUUCUUUUCUCCACUGCUAAUACGUACACUUAACAAUUUUUCCUUAAAACCAGUGUCGUCCCCUACUAAGAAGUUAUUUGGGGGACGUAGGGAGUAUUUUUUAAUGAUAUGGCAUCCAAAUAUGUUGUGACAAUCCAGUGAGCAAUAUCAACUUUUUGGAGCUGAAAACCGAUGUGAGGUACAACUAAUACACAAUAUGUUGUGGCAAUCCAGUAAUAUACCCUAAGGAUGCGUCAUCUUUUGUUGUAAAUUUAUCAUGGAAAAAUGAGGGAUAAACAAAAUUUCACCCAUUAAAUCCUUCAUUUUUUCCCUCAUUUCUUACAAAAUAGAAUUUGACCCUUACUCAUUUCUCAUUUUCACUGCAAAGGGGGGCUAAUAUUAUCUCUCUAUUUUUGGUAUAAUGAAGAAUUUGAUACGUAAUUACAAUUAAUUAUAAUGAAGUGUGUAUUUUAGUUGCUCAUAUUCUUGGAUUAUUUAUGCUUUAAUGAAACGAUCCACUGCCUUUAACAUUUUGGCAUUUUAAAGUAAACGCCGAAAUGCAACGAUCCACUGCCUUUUAAGUAAACACCCUUGCUAACCCCUGCAUGCGUUUUUUCAUCAAACACUUGGGUUCAUUCUUUUAGGCAUUUUAUCAAACAGUUGUGCUCAGCCUCAUCCUUUUGAUCACAUUCCCAUAUCUCUCCUUAUAUGAAACCGCAUUUUCUAUUUCUCAUAUAUUUCCUAUAUAAUAUUUCCAUCAUUUCUAGCUCAACAAUAAUUCUUCUAGCAAAAUUAUCAUUUCAAAUGCACUCUUUUCCUUUUCUACUUUCUCUUCUGCAUAACAGAAAUACUAAUCCACCAUAAAAUAAUCAUAACUUUUUCUUAAUGAUACGAUGAGGGCACAAAGUUGAGAUGAUAAAAUCAUACAUAUUGGCGAAUGUUGCCGCCGGCUUCCUCUGACUUUUGGAUGCUGAGGGGAGGGGUGGCGGUGAAAUACCAGGAGUUGAUGAUGAAUUUGAUGGUUGUUUCCAUGUCCACCUGCCGCAGAGACCGAGAUACGAUUUUAGAAACAAACGGCAAAAUUACAAUUUCACAUAUAAAAAAUAAAAGACAAUUAAUAAAGCGCAUAAUAUUGGUAAGAUGCUUCCAACCAAUAGGUCGGGAUUGUAUAUCGUGUGAGUGUGUUUUUCAUUUUUUAGUAAUAACAUGUCGUGCUCGGGGCUUUUUUCCGUAUCUGCCCCUGCUUCCCGUCGUCGUGCCCGACUCGUCGGUUUUUGUCAUGCGGAGGUAGGUGGUGGCGUCGGUGAAGUUGGCGUCGCCUUCCAAGCGUAGGCCUUCCGAAUGUGGCGGCUUUUGGUAGAAGUCGUAGGUGAAGGAGACUGCAUCGCCGACCGACACGGUGGCGAGGAGGAGGGCGAUGGAGGAGAGGAGAGGAAUUAAGGUUUGGAGAAGGUUGGCCAAUUUGAUUAAAUGUAUUUGGAUGUAGUGGAUGAUGGUGUAUCGAUCUCUUGCUCCUAUUUAUAGUUGUAAAUAUAUAUUAAUAAUGGUAUCAUUCAAUCAUUAUACUUUAGGCCGGCCGGGCCGGAUCCUCUAUUCCAAAUUCUAUGUCUCAUUGUUCAUAUUCACUAUUAAUUUCACUAUUUCAAUAAUUAAAAAAAUUCAUAGAGUUUGGGGCAGAGGAUCCCGUUUGAAUCCCACAUGGAUCCUCUGUCCCAUAACUUAUUGUGUUCCUUCCCAUUAUUAAUCUCGAUAUUAUAUUUCUACUUUGGAGUUAAUUCAUUAUAAACCCAUGAAAGAUCAGACGAAAUUCAUCCAAUAAACAUUUAUAAAUUUAUAUUUAAAUUUUGUUUCGCGGGUAUCUGAUAGAUAAUAGGUAUUCGUGGGUGGCGAAUUUGGGUAGCAUUUGAUAUUCAUAGAUAGUUUCAUGAUUAAAAUCCAAUAUUCAUUUAGUUCACGGGUAUGGUAUGACAGCCACUAUCUGUGUACGUCAUACCUGAUUGCCAGUAUGACAAAUAUAAAAGUUGUGAGAUGCACAGCAGCUUAAUUAUUCAAAUAGAAAUAUCAUCACAUGUGCAUUGAUAUUUCACAAAAUAAAUACUACUACUAAUAAAUACUCCCUCCGUCCACCAAAGAUAUGCCACUUUACUUUCGGUACGAGUUUUAAUAAAAUGUGAGUGAAGUUGGUAGUGGAGUAAGGGUCCCACUUUAAAUGUGAGUGGAAUGGUAUGGACCUUACUACUAAAAAUGGAUGUGGCAUAUUUUUCGUGGACGAACGAGAAAGAAAAUUGUGGCAUAUCUUUGGUGGACGGAGGGAGUAGUACUCAUUGAUAAUGCAUGCCAACACAUGGUUCUUGCAAGUCAUAUAUAUACCUCAUCAGCAAUAUAGUAAAAUGAUGAUUUGACAACCAGAUUAAGACACCAAUUAUUCUUGUCGGGACACAGACAUAUAUGCAUAUAGAAUUAAUAUUAUUUACUAUUUCGUUUAUACACGUGAAUUAUGCUUUGGAUGCAACAUCGCCACGUCUCUUUCAUUUAUACUUCUCUAGUGUAUUGCGGACAAAAUAGUUAGUGUCUUUAAGAAAUUAAAAAUUUUCAAAUACAUAAGAAAGAAUAAUUAAUCUAAUUGGUGCGCCGGCAACUAAAACUUUUUUCAAUUCACUUUAUAUUUUAUAUACUCCCUCCGUCCACGAUUUAAUGCCCCAUUUUAGUGUGGGCACGGAGACUAAGAAAACUGAAAAAGGUGAUGUGAAUGAAAUAUAAGGGUAGUUGACUAAAGUGAUAAAGAUGCUGUGAGUGGGUUCACUAGUGAUAAAGUAUAGGAAAUAUAGAAUAUAAAAAUGAUAAAGGUGUUUUAAGUUGGGUCCAUUAGUGGCAAAGAGUAAUAAAUAUAGAAAAAGAAGAGUAAAAAAGUACAAAAAGCAUAAUAGGGCUUUAAUUUGUGGACAAAAAAUUAAGAGCAAGUAGGGCUUUAAAUUGUGGACGGAGGGAGUAUUUAACAUUACAAGUCAAUUGCUUGCAGAAUUUGAGCUUGUCUCCCGUGAUGGAGACCUCACCAUGCGGCAACCCGUGCCUGCGCCUGCCUUUUUUCUUCCCGUCUUGCUCUAUCCAGAUAUUAUACGUGAUCCAACUCUUUCCAGAUAUUAUACGUAAAUGAUAAUUUUACUAACAAAAAUUACACUUUUUAUCAAUAACAAAUGAAACUAUGCAUACAAAACAGGAGGUAAAUGAUAUUUUUCUUAAUAACAACUGAUACUUUUUCAAUGCAAAUAAUACUUCGCAAAUGAUAUUUUAAUAUAAAAGUAAAUGAUACUUUGUAUAAAAAUAAAUGUUAUAUUACAAAUGACACUUUUAAUGCAUACCAAUGACACUUUUAAUAACAAAAAUUGAGAAAAAAAAAUUAGAAUUCGGCCUUAAUUAAAAUUUGGACAACAUUUAUUUGGGCAAAGAAGAAAAACACCUGAAUUUUUUUUUUUCCUUUUUUGAGAGAGAAAAACUCAUGAAAUUUCAUGCAAAAGGUAAUGCAUAGCCAACCGGGCUCAAUCAUCUUUCGGCGGUUUUGGUUUGAUUCUUCCAACAUCUAGGGUAGCAUUCACACAAAAUCAACUCGUGUUCAAAAAUCUGAAAUUAAAAUUAACGAUGUGUCUCAGUAUAGAGAUAAGAACAUACCCCUCAAAUGGUUCGAGCCAAGGUCUAAUUCCUUCAGCAGUGUGAUAUUCCAAAUUUGAGUAGGCAUAUAUCCGCCAAAGUUGUUGUCUGACAAGCGAAUACUCUCAAGUUGUGGACAUUGGUACAAACUCGAUGGUAUAUCUCCUUCCAAAUUGUUAAAGGAUAGGUUCACUAGUUUAAGUCUUUGAAGGUUAUUGUACGUGCNUAGACAACAAGAAAUAUCUAUUGUCUAUUCUAUGACAAAAAAAUUAAAAAAUUCUAAUAUAUCUGCAUCCCUGUAUUACAAUACCAAUAUAUAUGAAAAAAUAAAAAUAAUUAAAAAUCAAAUAAUCAAACAAUACUUAUAAACCACUAAUACUCACAAUCAAAUAUUUACACAUCAGUGUAAAUAUUGGGUUCGAGUCCUCUGCGUGUGUUGAUCAAGCGGUAAGGGGUUAAUGCCUAAGGUCAAAGGUCUGGGAUUCGAGUCCCCUGUGGUGUAGCCUUUUAAUUUCGUUAUUUAAUAUUGUAAAUUUAUAAAAAAAAAAAAGUAUAUUUACACAUCAACAAUUGUAUUAUCUUUAAUACGCCUUCAUUCAUCUAAUAAAAAAAAUCUCUAAUAAAAUCUCCAACUAACUCCGGUCAUGAUCAUCUCUUGAAGGCGGAGGAAGGUGGAGUCCGUCGGGAAAUGGGUACUGCCUUGAUAGAUGAGAUCUUUCGGCUGGUCGCCCCAGAAGUCGUAGGUGAAGGACGUCGUUUGGGACAACGCCGUGUUGGAAACGGAGAGGAGGAGGACGAUGGAGGAGAGGAGAGGAGUUAAGGUUUGAAGAAGCUGGUUGGCCAUGGCUUAAUUGAUUUAGAUUUAGAGAUGUGGUGGAUGAUGGUGGUAUCGAUCUCUUGCACCUAUUUAUACUAGUAUGGUUCAUGCCUGUUAAUAAUUGUAUAUAUCAAUCAUCGUGCAUCUAUCCCAAAUUAUAUGUCUUAUUAUUCACUAAUUAGAUGGAUUAAAUCCUGAUUAGUAACCAUAAAAUUAAACUGUCAAUGAGGCCUUGCUCUAGUGGCAAAGCUGUGACACCGAAUAACUUUUCUUUGUGAAAUGUCUUGGGUUCAAUCUCGCCUGCAUGCGGUGAUGUGUGUCCAUUUUAGGUGGUGUGGUAUUCUUGUCUGCGUGCGGUGUUGUAUUGUUUAGUGUUGAGGUCCCACAUGCAGAGCGUUCUUGCCUGUGUACGUGUCACAGCCCAAAACCAUUUAUUUUCUUUACAAAUUUUAUAUAUGAAAAUUAUUUAAUUUUUAAGUUAUAGAGUUUUUGAAAUAUAUAUAGUAUCAAUUUUAUGUUAACUUAGUCGUGUCCCUAAUUAAAAGAAUGACUUUAAAAUAAAACUUAAGCCUUAAAAAUUUAAUCUACAUUCAUAUAUAACUGAAAUUACAUGCAUGUCUAAAUAUUAUUUAUAAUUAUCAAUAACAAGAUUAAUGAUUCUAUAUCUCUAUGUUUAUACAUGUAUUCACGUAUGACAUAGUAUAUAUUAGCUAUUAAGUUAAAAACUAAUAAAAUACUACACUUUUGCAUAGGAUAUAUAUUUAAUUAGUAGUAGGAUAGGACACGUGUAUUAAUUUUAAGGGCAAGUAAUCAAACUUUUGAAUGAUUCAUCAUGCUUAAAAAAAAAAGAGACCUAGAUAGAUGAUUCAUCAGAUUCAAAAACAAGUAUAAAUAGACUUCGGGUUUGAAAUUUUAAUUAAUUUGCAACAACAAUUCAAACUGACUGUAUUAAGGUAAGUAGUUACAGAUUUCAUACACAUAUUAUAUGAUUUCGCACACAUAUUAAGGUAAGUAUAUAUAAAUAUUUUUUAAAAUCAUAUAUUAUAUAAUAAUUAUAUUUAAGUUUUAUAUUAUUCUUUAUAAACUAUUGUUUCAUUCUAUAUAAUUAGGUGUGGCACGACUAGGACGUAACUUUCUAUUGAAUUUCUCAAGUUAAUCUUAGAGUUCAAGUUUCAGGUGUGAGAUUUAUUUAAAUACAUGUCGUACGUGGUUAUUUAUUGUCCAUUUUAAUAAGAUGUGUUUACCAUAUGUGUUAUGACGCAUAUUUUUAGGAUAUCACUAGGUGCCCAUAAAUAGGAUCCAGGACUUCACCGUCCUUGGAUUGCCACAAUGCGAUUUGAGGUUUAUUUUGAGGAUGUCGUUAGGGGCCCGUACAUAGGGUCCAGGACUUUAAUAGUCAUUGGGUUGCCAUAGUGCAAAUAUUGAGGAUAUAUAUGAAGUGACCGUAUGUGUUACCGUUUCAUUAACGUGGACAAUGAUUGCAUGUUUAAGAGACAAUAACCAAUUUUUCAGACAUUUGUGAACAAAAUGAAGCAUGUUUAGAGAUCCUUAAUACAGGUGUACGAAAUGAUGGAUAAAUAAGUUUGUGAAACAAAUUUCACCAUACCUAACCCCACAAUUAUUUGCGGUCGAAUUUCCUCGUCACAGGAAAAAGAGAUGAUGACAAAAGGGAAAAAAUUAAUUAACAAAGUAGAAGAUGCAUGACAACUGUAAAAGAAAAAUAAUGCUACUAAUUAAAUAGUCCAAACUUCAUACGUUUCAUAUCAUAAGUGGCAGUUCUAUUUUUUUUUUUGCGAAUGUGAACAAAAUAACGAAUAAUUUUUAAAGUAAUAGUAAUAAGGAGAUGUGUUUUGACAGAAAACGACAUGAGCGGCCUAAAAAUAAGAGGGAAAAAGAUAAUCAUAUAAAUAUUCAAAAUCAAACGGAUUGGCAUGUAUUCAUCAUUUUUUAUUUUUUAUUUUGAUAAUUUAACAGUACUCCCUCCGUCCGUCAAAAGUAGACCACUUUGGUUGGGCACGGGAUUUAAUAAAAUUAGUGAUGAUUUUGAUGUAGUAGAGAAAGAGUUCCACCACUUUAUGAGAUGUGUGGUUGAGAUUGAAUUUGUUGUGAUUUUUUUGUAAAUAAAGAGUGUUUGUAAGGAUAAAAGAUUAAAGUGGGUGGUGGGACCAUUUCCAUAAAAGGAAAGUGGUCUACUAUUUGCGGACGCCCAAUAUAGUAAAAGUAGUCUACUUUUGGCGGACGGGGAGAGUAUUAAAUAAAUAAAUUUAAAGGUUGCACCCCUUACUGCUUGGCUUUUAGAUUAUGUUAUAAUAAUAAAAUUAACAGCACGUUUACAAUAUAAAAUUAAUUAUGAUAAAUACAAUAUAUUAAUAAUAAAUACUCAAUUACCUCUUAACAUAAUUCGCGCAUCAUGGCUUUUAGCUUAUAUUAUAAAGAUAUAAUAUGUUGUCUAUAAUAAUCGACGGAAGGUAAUAGACAACAUGUUUUAUAUGUUGUCUAUAAUAAUAUAGACAGUAGAUCUAGUGUUAUAGAUAACAAUUAAUACUUGUUGUCUAUAUGAUGAUAGACACCAAAAAUCUCUGUUGUCUAUUCUAUGACAAAAAAAUUUAAAAAAAUUCUAAUAUAUUUACAUCCCUGUAUUACAAUACCAAUAUAUAUGAAAAAAUAAAAAUAAUUAAAAAUCAAAUAAUCAAACAAUACUUAUAAACCACUAAUACUCACAAUCAAAUAUUUACACAUCAACAACUGUAUUAUCUUUAAUUACGCCUUCAUUUAUCUAUUAAAAAAAAUCUCUAAUAAAAUCUCUAACUAACUCCGGUCAUCAUCUCUUGAAGGCUUAGAAAAUGUCCAAAUACAGCGGCACAUGCUCAUUAUUGUGUGAGCGAUGAGAACUUUGCGCUGAACCUAUAAAGUAACUAUACUUAACUGGUAAAGUAAUUGUAUCCCGUGAAUCUAAAGGAAGACUACACACGUUGAUAGAGUUUGAAAGAAAAGAAUAAAGAGAAUGAAAAUCCAAAGAAUUUGCUUCUUCCGUUGAACAAUCCCUACACAACAUUGAAAUAUCAAUGAAAAUAAUGGCUAUCGUAUACUCCCUCCAUCCAUGAAAGAACUUCAUAGGAGGGAGUGACACGGGUUUUAAGAAAAAAUAUUGUUAAGUGUAUUGAGAGUGGAUAAAAGGUAGUUGAGUGUAUUGGGAGUGGUGAAAAUGUGUUAUAGUUAAUAUUGAGAGUUGUGAAAAGUGAAAAGUAAGAGGAUUAUAAGUGGUGGGGUAUAGUCCAAAAAUAGGUAGGAAGUUCUUUUGUGGACGUCCCAAAAAGGAAAGAUAUGAAGUUCUUUCGUGGACGGAGGGAGUAUUAUUUUGCAGCAGCAACCACGUUUGAAAACUCGAUCCCUCUGUUCUUGAAUUUGUGAAAUUUCCGACUGAUUUAUUAGAUUCACCAUUUAUUUCAGUUUAAUUAGUCUAUAUAUAGAUAUUUCUUAUAUUAUUAAAUUGUUAACCUCAUGGUAGAUUUCAAGAUUUGAAAAUUCAACAAAGAGCUUGAGAAUUAUUGAGAUUGGAAGGGGAAGAUGAAACAUAAUUGGGUGAAAUUAGAAACCAAUUAAAGUCACAAGAUUGAACAAAAACAUAACUUAAAAACACAAAAUAAGCAAAUCGUAGAUGCAGUAUCUUGCAAGAAAAAGUUCAUAUUCCCAAGGCUAUGAUGAGCACGAAUUAGGGUGUGUCUGCAUUUUAUCCCUCUAAAUAGAGGAAUAACAAAAUUUUAUUCUUUAAAUGUUUGCUUUCUUAUCACACAUUCUACACAAACACCAUUUUUUCUUCCUUAUUUUCACUUCAAGGAGGANUAAUAUUAUCCCUCCAAUUUUGGUGUGAUAAUAUUAUCUCUUCUUGAAGUGAAAAUAAGGAAGAAAAAAUGGUAUUUGUGUAGGAUGUGGGAUAAGAAAGCAAACAUUUAAAGGUAUAAAUUUUUGUUAUUCCUCAUUUAGAGGAAUAAAAAGCAAACACACAUUAGAGUCUACUUACAAUUUAGGCGCAGGCUGUGCGAGAAUUACUUAGUCGAAUAGGAUCCUAAGUAUUUAUAUUUCUCAUGUUCUUGUGUAUUUUUUUACUGAUUCACUAUUGGAUUAACAAGAAUUAUCUUACUUUAAAUUUCUUGCUUUAAAAAAAAAAAAGAAUUAUCUUACUUCAUGUAUGGUAUGCCAACUGUUCGAUAAAGGUCCUUUUAGAAAUCUUCUAUUGAUUACCUUGCGAAGACCACAAAACUAGACACACCCAAAAGCAUUCUUGCAUAGUUUAUACAUAGAGAUGGCCGAUUGAUGAUCGUCUUAUUUGUAGACUUAACGCGAGCAGACUCGAUCGCUUAGUCCUUAUUGAUUUACGACACACAUGCUCACACACACACAUACACACAUCACAAAAUCACACAAAUUGACGGAUAAUGUUGCCGUUCAGCUCCUUCCUGAACCUCACCGCGGCAUUUUUCUGCACCAUAGUGGCCGUGAAAUACCACGAGACGAUGUCAUGGACGGCGACGUGUUGUCCGGUGGCGGCGGAUAGCCCGACCUGAACCUGCUGAGGAACAAAGUCGCUCAAAUCGUACUCAUAGUUGACAUCAAAUGUCUGCGAGCCGGCGGUGACUUUCACGGAGAUCAUCCUUGUGGCUCCGACGUAGUUGAUCCGCGCAGUCACCUGCUGCCCGAGUAUGGAGUUGUCGACCUUCGUCGUGUUGCUGGAUGCCCUAGAGCCGAAGUCGAUGCCGAUGUGGGGAUAGAGCGGAUCCCACGCGCCGUUGACGUAGGUGUCGAUUUCGACGGCGAAGACCGAGGGGCUGUUGCCGUUGGAGCCAAAGAUUCCGAGGUUGGCUCCGUUGGAGCCAGGGGGGAUGGUGGAACCGACGGGGGCAAUGAAGAAGGCGAGGCCGUCGGCAGGCUCGUUGUCGGCGCCCGGGGUGAUGAUGAAGUUCACAGUGGUUUCGAAGUCGACCUGCCCACCGGACUGCGAGAAUUGGACCGGGUUCGAGUGCAAGACGCGGCCGACUUGUGAGGGCUGUGCGUCUGUGAGGCGGAGGAAGGUGGAGUCCGUCGGGAAAUGGGCGCUGCCUUGAUAGAUGAGAUCUUUCGGCUGGUCGCCCCAGAAGUCGUAGGUGAAGGACGUCGUUUGGGACAACGCCGUGUUGGAAACGGCGAGGAGGAGGGCGAUGGAGGCGAGGAGAGGAGUUAAGGUUUGAACAAGCUGGUUGGCCAUGGCUUAAUUGAUUUAGAUUUAGAUUUAGAGAUGUGGUGGAUGAUGGUGGCCAGGUAUCGAUCUCUUGCACCUAUUUAUACUAGUAUGGUUCAUGCCUGUUAAUAAUUGUAUAUAUCAAUCAAUCAUCGUGCAUCUAUCCCAAAUUAUAUGUCUUAUUAUUCACUAAUUAGAUGGAAUAAAUCCUAAUUAGCAAUCUUAAAAUUACACCGCCAAUGAGGCCUUGCUCUAGUGGUAAAGCUGUGGCACCGAAUAACUUUUCUUUGUGAAAGGUCUUGGGUUCAAUCUCGCCUGCAUGCGGUGAUGUUUGUCCAUUUUAGAUGGUGUGGUAUUCUUGCCUGCGUGCGGUGUUGUAUUAUUUAGUCUUAGGCGUUCUUGCCUGUGUGCAUAUCACUGUGUGACAAUUAAAAGAAUGACUUUAAAAUAAAAGUUAAGCCUUAAAAAUUUAAUCUACAUUCAUAUAUAACUGAAAUUACAUGCAUGUCUAAUUUUUUUAAUAUCAUAACAAGAUAAGAUUUAUUAAAUAAUUCAGAUGCAUAAAUAAAAAGUUAAUCUAUAAACACAGUAUAGAUAUAUUAUCAAUGAUAGGCCGUGUAUAAGUCUUAAUCUGUAAAACUAUAUCAUCCCAGCCUUAAACGACUACCAUUCCUGCUUUCCCAGAGCAACCACACUGUUCCCACCCACAAAGCUUUAAGCAGUACAUGCAUGUCUAAAUAUUAUUUAUAAUUAUCAAUAACAAGAUUAAUGAUUCUAUAUCUCUAUGUUUAUACAUAUAUUCACGUAUGACAUAGUAUAUAUUAGCUAUUAAGUUAAAAACUAAUAAAAUACUACAGUUUUGCAUAGGAUAUAUAUUUAAUUAGUAGUAGGAUAGGACACGUGUAUUAAUUUUAAGGGCAAGUAAUCAAACUUUUGAAUGAUUCAUCAUGCUUAAAAAAAAAAAGAGACCUAGAUAGAUGAUUCAUCAGAUUCAAAAACAAGUAUAAAUAGACUUCGAGUUUGAAAUUUUAAUUAAUUUGCAACAACAAUUCAAACUGACUGUAUUAAGGUAAGUAGUUACAGAUUUCAUACACAUUAUAUGAUUUCGCGCACAUACGUAUGUAUAUAUAAAUAUUUUUUAAAAUCAUAUACUCCCUCCGUCCCCAAAAUAAGUUCCUCUUUGGGGACGGCACGGAUUUUAAGGAAAAGUGGUAAAGUGUAUUAAUAGUGGAGAAAAAUAUGUUAUAAUUAGUAUUGGAAGUUGUGAAAAGGUGAAAAAGUGUUAUAAUUAGUAUUGGGAGUGGUGAAAAAGUGAAAAGUAAGAAUAAAUAAAGUAUUAUUAGUGGUGGGGUAGUUGUCCAAAAAUGGAAAAAAAGAAAGAGGAACUUAUUUGGGGGACAUCCCAAAAUGGAAAAAGAGGAACUUAUUUCAGGGACGGAGGGAGUAUUAUAUAAUAAUUAUAUUUAAGUUUUAUAUUAUUCUUUAUAAACUAUUGUUCCAUUCUAUAUAAUUAGGUGUGGCACGACUAGGACGUAACUUUCGAUUGAAUUUCUCAAGUUAAUUUUCAAGUUCAAGUUUCAGGUGUGAGAUUUAUUUAAAUACAUGUCAUGAUUAUUCAUUGUCCAUUUUAAUAGUAUGUGUUUACCAUAUGUGUUAUGACGCAUAUUUUGAGGACAUCGCUAGGAGCCCAUAAAUAGGGUCCAGGACUUCACCGUCCUUGGAUUGCCACAAUGCGAUUUGAGGUUUAUUUUGAGGAUGUCGUCAGGGGCCCGUAAAUAGGGUCCAGGACUUUAAUAGUCAUUGGGUUGCCACAGUGCGAAUAUUGAAGAUAUAUAUGAAGUGACCGUAUGUGUUACCGUUUCAUUAACGUGGACAAUGAUUGCAUGUUUAAGAGACAAUAACCAAUUUUUCAGACAUUUGUGAACAAAAUGAAGCAUGUUUAGAGAUCCUUAAUAAAGGUGUACGAAAUGAUGGAUAAAUAAGUUUGUGAAACAAAUUUCACCAUACCUAACCCCACAAUUAUUUGCGGUCGAAUUUCCUCGUCACAGGAAAAAGAGAUGAUGACAAAAGGGCAAAAAUUAAUUAACAAAGUAGAAGAUGCAUGACAACUGUAAAAGAAAAAUAAUGCUACUAAUUAAAUAGUCCAAACUUCAUACGUUUCAUAUCAUAAGUGGCAGUUCUAUUUUUUUUUUGCGAAAGUGAACAAAAUAACGAAUAAUUUUUAAAGUAAUAGUAAUAAGGAGAUGUGUUUUGACAGAAAACGACAUGAGCGGCCUAAAAAUAAGAGGGAAAAAGAUAAUCAUAUAAAUAUGGGUUAAUUGCCUCUAAAUACACCACCUUUCCUUGAAUUCUACAAUUGCACAUCACCUUUAAAAUCCGCCCUUAAAUACACCACCUUUCCUUGAGUUCUACAAUUGCACAUCACCUUUAAAUCCGCCCCAAAAUACAUCAUCUUUAUAUUUUUUCUGUUUUUGCACAUGACUAAAAAAUUCUCAAGAAAUAAAUUAAAGUGUUAAUUUAUAAAUUUAAAUAUCUUUUUAGCAGCGAAAACAUAAUAAAAUAAAAUUCUUUAUAAAGUUUAAAAUCAUAUAUAUAUAUAUAUAUAUAUAAGUAUUUUCGUAAAGAAAUAAAUUCUCUAAUAAAUUUUUAGAAAGAACUUGAAUUAAAAAAAUAAACAAGUCAUGACAUUAAGAAAAUAAAAUGAAAUUUUUAUUUUAAUAAAUUUCACACGAAUUCGAUAUAAUUUGGAAUUUAGAGUUACAAUAAUCAGAAGUACCACAUGAAUAAUAUAAUGAGUUUGAAAGAAAUUUUUUUUAAAGAGGUUCGACACGCCCAUUCGACUUUCCACGCGCCUCCAAUGUCAUUUACCUGAAAUAUUAANUAUAUAAGUAUUUUUCGUAAAGAAAUAAAUUCUCUAAUAAAUUUUUAGAAAGAACUUGAUUAAAAAAUAAACAAGACAUGACAUUAAGAAAAUAAAAUGAAACUUUUAUUUUAAUAAAUUUCACACGAAUUCGAUAUAAUUUGGAAUUUAGAGUUACAAUAAUAAAAAGAACCACAUAAAUAAUAUAAUCAGUUUGAAAGAAAUAUAUAUAUAUUUUUUUAAAGAGGUUCGACGCGCCCAUUCGACUCUCCACGCGCUACCAAUGUCAUUACCUGAAAUACUAAAUAUGGGAUAAGCAUACAUAAUAUACUUAGUGUGGGAACAUGCAAUUAUUGUCCACGUUAAUAAAAUAGUAACACAUACGAUCAUAACAUUCAAAACGACACAAUUUUGCCAAUAUGGAAGCCACGUCAUUUAAAGUGGUAACACCCUAAUCUAACUAAAGUGUUAAAUAUAAAUUUAAAGCGGAAAUAUAAUAAAAUAAAGUUCUUUAUAAAAAUAAAUAAAGAAUUUUAUUUUAUUAUAUUUCCGCUGCUAAAAAAGAUAUUUAAAAUUUAUAAAUUAACACUUUAAUUUAUUUCUUGAGGAUUUUUAAGUCAUGUGCAAAAACAGAAAAAAAAUAUAAAGGUGAUGUAUUUUGGGGCGGAUUUAGAAUUCAAGGAAAUGUGGUGUAUUUAGGGGCGGAUUUUAAAGGUGAUGUGCAAUUGUAGAAUUCAAGGAAAGGUGGUGUAUUUAGGGGAAAUUAACCCUAUAAAUAUUCAAAAUCAAACGGAUUGGCAUGUAUUCAUCAUUUUUUAUUUUUUAUUUUGAUAAUUUAACAGUAUUAAAUAAAGAAAUUUAUAGGCUGCGUCCCUUACUGCUUGGCUUUUAGAUUAUGUUGUAAUAAUAAAAUUAAAAGCACGUUUACAAUAUAAAAUUAAUUAUGAUAAAUACAAUAUAUUAAUAAUAAAUACUCAAUUACCUCUUAACAUAAUUCGCGCAUCAUGGCUUUUAGCUUAUAUUAUAAAGAUAUAAUAUGUUGUCUAUAAUAAUCGACGGAAGGUAAUAGACAACAUGUUUUACUUCUUGUCUAUAAUAAUAUAGACAGUAGAUCUAGUGUUAUAGAUAACAAUUAAUACGUGUUGUCUAUAUGAUGAUAGACACCAAAAAUCUCUGUUGUCUAUUCUAUGACAAAAAAAUUUAAAAAAAUUCUAAUAUAUUUACAUCCCUGUAUUACAAUACCAAUAUAUAUGAAAAAAUAAAAAUAAUUAAAAAUCAAAUAAUCAAACAAUACUUAUAAACCACUAAUACUCACAAUCAAAUAUUUACACAUCAACAAUUGUAUUAUCUUUAAUUACGCCUUCAUUUAUCUACUAAAAAAAAUCUCUAAUAAAAUCUCUAACUAACUCCGGUCAUCAUCUCUUGAAGGCUUAGAAAAUGUCCAAAUACAGCGGCACAUGCUCAUUAUUGUGUGAGCGAUGAGAACUUUGCGCUGAACCUAUAAAGUAACUAUACUUAACUGGUAAAGUAAUUGUAUCCCGUGAAUCUAAAGGAAGAAUAAACACGUUGAUAGAGUUUGAAAGAAAAGAAUAAAGAGAAUGAAAAUCCAAAGAAUUUGCUUCUUCCGUUGAACAAUCCCUACACAACGUUGAAAUAUCAAUGAAAACAAUGGCUAUCCUAUACUCCCUCCAUCCAUGAAAGAACUUCCUAGGAGGGAGUGACACGGGUUUUAAGAAAAAAUAUUGUUAAGUGUAUUGAGAGUGGAUAAAAGGUAGUUGAGUGUAUUGGGAGUGGUGAAAAUGUGUUAUAGUUAAUAUUGAGAGUUGUGAAAAGUGAAAAGUAAGAGGAUUAUAAGUGGUGGGGUAUAGUCCAAAAAUAGGUAGGAAGUUCUUUUGUGGACGUCCCAAAAAGGAAAGAUAUGAAGUUCUUUCGUGGACGGAGGGAGUAUUAUUUUGCAGCAGCAACCACGUUUAAAAACUCGAUCCCUCUAUUCUUGAAUUUGUGAAAUUUCCGACUGAUUUAUUAGAUUCACCAUUUAUUUCAGUUUAAUUAGUCUAUAUAUAGAUAUUUCUUAUAUUAUUAAAUUGUUAACCUCAUGGUAGAUUUCAAGAUUUGAAAAUUCAACAAAGAGCUUGAGAAUUAUAGAGAUUGGAAGGGGAAGAUGAAACAUAGUUGGGUGAAAUUAGAAACCAAUUAAAGUCAGGAGAUUGAAGAAAAACAUAACUUAAAAACACAAAAUAAGCAAAUCGUAGAUGCAGUAUCUUGCAAGAAAAAGUUCAUAUUCCCAAGGCUAUGAUGAGCACGAAUUAGGGUGUGUCUGCAUUUUAUCCCUCUAAAUGGAGGAAUAAUAAAAUUUUAUGCCUUUAAAUGUUUGCUUUCUUAUCACACAUUCUAAACAAACACCAUUUUUUCUUCCUUAUUUUCACUUCAAUGAGGGAUAAUAUUAUCCCUCCAAUUUUGGUGUGAUAAUAUUAUCCCUCCUACAAGUGAAAAUAAGGAAGAAAAAAUGGUACUCCCUUCGUCCCAAACGAAAUGUCCUGUUUUCCUUUUUGGGCUGUCCCAAACGAAAUGUCCUGUUUCCUUUUUUGGCAAUACACUCUCUCUCUAUACUUAAUAUUUAAAUAAUUUUCACCAACCCACUUUAUCUACUUUAUACACAUUUCUUAAUCUCCGUGCCGAAAAGAAAUGGGACAUUUCGUUUGGGACGGAGGGAGUAUUUGUGUAGGAUGUGGGAUAAGAAAACAAACAUUUAAAGACAUAAAUUUUUGUUAUUCCUCCAUUUAGAGGGAUAAAAAGCAAACACACCUUAGAGUCUAAUUACAAUUUAGGCGCAGGCUGUGUGAGAAUUACUUAGUCGAAUAGGAUCCUUAGUAUUUAUAUUUCUCAUGUUCUUGUGUAUUUUUUCACUGAUUCACUAUUGGAUUAACAAGAAUUAUCUUACUUUAAAAAAAAAAAAGAAAUGAUCUUACUUCAUGUAUGGUAUGCCAACUGUUCGAUAAAGGUCCUUUUAGAAAUAUUCCAUAGAUUACCUUGCAAAGACCACAAAACUAGACACACCCUGCAUAGUUUAUACAUAGGGAUGGCCGAUUGAUGAUCGUCUUAUUUGUAGACUUAACGAGAGCAGACUCGAUCGCUUAGUCCUUACUGAUUUACGACACACAUGCACACAUACACAGAUACACACAUCACAAAAUCACGCAAAUUGACGGAUAAUGUUGCCGGCCAGCUCCUUCCUGCUCCACGCCACGGCAUUUUUCUGCACCAUGGUGGCCGUGAAAUACCACGAGACGAUGUCAUGGGUGGCGACGUGUUGUCCGGUGGCGGCGGAUAGCCCGACCUGAACCUCCUGAGCAACAAAGUAGCUCAAAUCGUACUCAUAGCUGACAUCAAACGUCUGAUUGCCGGCGGUGACUUUGACGGAGAUCAUCCUUGUGGCUCCGACGUAGUUGAUCCGCGCAGUUACCUGCUGCUUGAGUAUGGAGCUGUCGACCGGCGUCGUCUUGCUGGAUACCCUAGAGCCGAAGUCGAUGCCGAUGUGGGGAUAGAGCGGAUCCCACGCGCCGUUGACGUAGGUGUCGAUUUCAACGGCGAAGACCCCGGGGCUGUUGCCGUUGGAGCCAAAGAUUCCGAGAUUGGCUCCGUCGGAGCCAGGGGGGAUGGUGGAGUCGACGGGGGCAAUGAAGAAGGCGAGGCCGUCGGCAGGCUCGUUGUCGGCGCCGGGGGUGAUGAUGAAGUUCACGGUGGUUUCGAAGUCGACCUGCCCAUUGGACAUCCAGAAUUGGACCGGUUCCGAGUACAUGACGCGGCCGACUUGGGACGGUUGUGCGUCUGUGAGGCGGAGGAAGGUGGAGUCCGUCGGGAAAUGGGCGUUGCCUUGAUAGAUGAGAUCUUUCGGCUGGUCGCCCCAGAAGUCGAAGGUGAACGACGUCGUUUGGGACAACGCCGUGUUGGAAACGGCGAGGAGGAGGGCGAUGGAGGCGAGGAGAGGAGUUAAGUUGGCCAUGGCUUAAUAGAUUUAGAUUUAGAGAUGUGGUGGAUGAUGGUGGUAUCGAUCUGUUGCACCUAUUUAUACUAGUAUGGUUCAUGCCUGAUAAUAAUUGUAUCAAUCAAUCAUCGUGCAUCUAUCCCAAAUUAUAUGUCUUAUUAUUCACUAAUUAGAUGGAAUAAAUCCUAAUUUGCAAUCUUAAAAUUAAACCGCCAAUGAGGCCUUGCUCUAGUAGCAAAGCUGUGGCACCCAAUAACUUUUCUUUGUGAAAGGUCUUGGGUUCAAUCUCGCCUGCAUGCGGUGAUGUUUGCCCACUUUAGGUGGUGUGGUAUUCUCGCCUGCGUGCGGUGUUAUAUUGUUUAGUGUUAAGGUCCCACAUGCAGGGCGUUCUUGCAUGUGUGCGUGUCACAACCCAAAACCAUUUAUUUUCUUUACAAAUUUUAUAUGAAAAUUAUUUGAUUUUUAAGUUAUAGAGUUUUCGAUAUAUAUACAUAUAGUGUCAAUUUUAUGUUAACUUAGUCGUGUCCCUAAUUAAAAGAAUGAAUUUGAAAUAAAAGUUAAGCCUUAAAAAUUUAAUCUACAUUCAUAUAUAACUGAAAUUACAUGCAUGUCUAAAUAUUAUUUAUAAUUAUCAAUAACGGGAUUAAUGAUUCUAUAUCUCUAUGUUUAUACAUAUAUUCACGUAUGACAUAGUAUAUAUUAGCUAUUAAGUUAAAUAAAAUACUACAGUUUUGCAUAGGAUAUAUAUUUAAUUAGUAGUAGGAUAGGACACGUGUAUUAAUUUUAAGGGCAAGUAAUCAAACUUUUGAAUGAUUCAUCAUGCUUAAAAAAAAGAGACCUAGAUAGAUGAUUCAUCAGAUUCAAAAACAAGUAUAAAUAGACUUCGAGUUUGAAAUUUUAAUUAAUUUGCAACAACCAUUCAAACUGACUGUAUUAAGGUAAGUAGUUACAGAUUUCAUACACAUUAUAUGAUUUCGCGCACAUACGUAUGUAUAUAUAAAUAUUUUUUAAAAUCAUAUAUUAUAUAAUAAUUAUAUUUAAGUUUUAUAUUAUUCUUUAUAAACUAUUGUUCCAUUCUAUAUAAUUAGGUGUGGCAUGACUAGGACGUAACUUUCGAUUGAAUUUCUCAAGUUAAUCUUCAAGUUCAAGUUUCAGGUGUGGGAUUUAUUUAAAUACAUGUCGUGGUUAUUUAUUAUCCAUUUUAAUAAUAUGUGUUUACCAUAUGUGUUAUGAUGCAUAUUUUGAGGAUAUCGCUAGGGGCCCAUAAAUAGGGUCCAGGACUUCACCGUCCUUGGAUUGCCACAAUGCAAUUUGAGGUUUAUUUUGAGGAUGUCGUCAGGGAUCCGUAAAUAGGGUCCAGGACUUUAAUAGUCCUUGGGUUGCCACAGUGCGAAUAUAUUGAGGAUAUAUAUGAAGUGACCGUAUGUGUUACCGUUUCAUUAACGUGGACAAUGAUUGCUUGUUCUCACACUGAGUGUACUCUGUAUGCUCAUCCCAUAUUUAACGUGGAAGGUCGAUUGACGAAUCAAAUAUUUUGUAUUUAGCUUUACCUAAAUAUGUUAUUUUGAGUAAAGUAUUUUAAAUAAAAAUUUAUUUCAUAAUUUUCUCAUUAAAUAUUUAUUUAUAUUCAUAGCUUUUCCGCACAAAUAUUUAUUUAAAUUUUAAUUAGAUUUGGGUGUCACUGUGCGGUGAUGUUUUUCCACCGUUUCGGUGGUGGUGAGGCCCCACCUGCGUGCACGUUAUAUACUUGAUUAUAUUCAGAUACCUCUUGUAAUUUUUAAAAAAAUAAUCAUAAAAUUAAACCAAAGCAUAUAAAAUUGAAAUUGGCCAAAAAAAUAUAUAAAAAUAAAUAAAAUUAAAAAUGGGAUAUAAAGUGAGACAUUAAAUGUGGUACACUACUGAAUCUCAAUCCAACACGUGGAUGCUACAUUGUACUUGUCGGAAUAUUAGAACUUCUACAAAAUAUUGCUAUUGGAAACGUGAAAUUUUAUUAUGAGAAAACUUAUACCUGACCCCACAGUCGUGGGCACGUGUUAUGUUGCGCGGAAAUUAAAGUGGUGGGGACCGUAAAUGGUAUUUUAGUCUUUUAAUUUAUUUUAGUAUACAAAAGAGUUAAUUUUAAAGAGGCGCUAAAAAACACAUCACUUUUAAAAAUUGGUAUUUAAAAUCUUGAACCCCUUUUAUUAUUUUAGAAAGAUAUUAAUUAAUUGAUAAAUUAAUAAAUUAUUAAUUGAAACAAUUAUUUUAAGCAAAUUUAAUUAUAAUUACCUAAAAAUUUAAAAAACAUAAAUUCAAUACCAUUCAAAUUCAACAAACUAACUUAAAUUUUUACUUUAAAAAAUCUUCAUCAAUCUUGCAAUCUCGGCUUGGACUAUAAAUGUUCAACAAGAGACAAUAACCAAUUUUUCAGACAUUUGUGAACAAAAUGAAGCAUGUUUAGAGAUCCUUAAUAAAGGUGUACGAAAUGAUGGAUAAAUAAGUUUGUGAAAAUUUCACCAUACCUAACCCCACAAUUAUUUGCGAUCGAAUAUCCUCGUCACAGGAAAAAGAGAUGAUGACAAAAGGGAAAAAAAAAUUAACAAAGUAGAAGAUGCAUGACAACUGUCAAGAUAAAUAAUGUUACUAAUUAAAUAAUCCAAACUUUAUACGUUUCAUAUCAUAAGUGGCAGUUCUAUAUUUUUUGCGAAAGUGAACAAAAUAACGAAUAAUUUUUAAAGUAAUAGUAAAAGGAGAUGUGUUUUGACAGAAAACGACAUGAGCGGCCUAAAAAUAAGAGGGAAAAAGAUAAUCAUAUAAAUAUUCAAAAUCAAACGGAUUGGCAUGUAUUCAUCAUUUUUUAUUUUAAUAAUUUAACAGUAUUAAAUCAAGAAAUUUAAAGACCGCGCCCCUUACUGCUUGGCUUUAAGAUUAUGUUACAAUAAUAAAAUUAACAGCACGUUUACAAUAUAAAAUUAAUUAUGAUAAAUGCAAUAUAUUAAUAAUAAAUACUCAAUUACCUCUUAACAUAAUUCGCGCAUCAUGGCUUUUAGCUUAUGUUAUAAAGAUGGAGUAUAAAAUAAUCAUCACCUGUGCAUGAUAUUUCACAAAAUAAUUAAAUAAUAAAAUAAUCAAUCAUAAUGCCAAGACGUGACUCUUGUCGGUCAUAUCUCAUCAACUUUAUCUAUAUAGUACAAUGAUGAUUAAUUUGAGAACGACGAUUAAGACACCAACUAUUCUUGUGGGGACACAUGCAUAUAUAGAAUUAAUAUUAUAAACUCUCUCGGUCCACGAAAUAACUUACUAUUUUUUCUUUUAAGAACGUGAACAAAAAAAAUUCCCAUCGAUAUUUCGGAACUAUACCCCACUACUUUAAAAUACCUCAUUUUACCCUUUCUUUUUCACAAAAACAACAAAUUACUAAUAAUUUUUCACUAUUCCUAAUAUACUGAACAAUUUUUCUCCACUCUCAAAUUUUGUAGCACCGAAUAAAAUUAAAUACUAGUAUUAUUUUUUGUAGAACUAUAAAUAAAUAUUAUUCUCAAAACAUGUACUAUUACUUACUAUUUUUUUUAAAUGUGGGACGACCAAAAAAGGAAAGAUGAAUUCUAAAAGCUGGGACAGAGGAUAUAUUAUUUUUCUUCUUGGUUCUGAAGUAUGAAUAUUAAUUAACAAUUCUUCGUCCACAUCAAGCUCACCUUCACGUAAUUUUUUCUUGAACAACACCGAAAAAUAUAUAAUCCCAACAUAGCAUGAUCAAUCUCAAUGCACCAAACAUAAAUUAGUUUUAAAAUAAUAAUAAGAUUAACUACUAUAUUGCUGAAUUAUGCAGUAGAAUUAAAAGCGUGAUUUUUUUUUAAUAGAGCAGGUUAAUCUAGGCCUACCUGAACCAUCUGACUAUGCAUGAGUUUGAUUUUUCUUCUUGAUCUUUUUUAAUUUUACCGACAAAGAAGAUUUUCACAAAUGAAAAGAAAACGUUCUAGUAACAUACUACAUGCUUACUUCAGAUUUGCAACCAAGUCUAUUGAGGGUUUUAUUUGCUACAUAUAUAAACACAAGGAUUUGGUUUGAUACAAAUUAAGAAUAUUCAACUUUCAUCGGCUCAAGCACAUAGAAUCUCCCCGAGUAGUUAUAACUGGUCAAUGUUUUUGCCGAUAAAAAGGAAAAGGAAAGAAAAAAGAAAGAAGCAAGACGGAGAAAAAGUUGUAGUAAAUGAUUAUGCGAUGAAAAGAAAAUGGAAAAGAGAAAGAAAGAAGAAAGUUGUAGGAAUUUUGAAGAAUUUGUACUUAUUUAGAAUUGUGGUUAUUGUGGGAUCUUGUAUAAUAAUAAUAAUAAUAAUAAUAAUAAUAAUAAUAAUUAUUGGGCCGUUCCACGAAUCUUGGCACAUUUUCAAAUAAGGUAAUAAUUCAUUCUCUCUCUUACUUUAUCACUUUAAUACUUUAUUAACUACAAACUUAAAACACUAAUAUACAAUUCCUUAAUUCCCGUGUCGAAACCAAACGUGUCAAGAUUCGUUGGAUGGAGGGAGUAAUAAUAAUAAUAAUAAUAAUAGUAAUAAUAAUAAUAAUAAUAAUAAUAAUACAUCAUUGCCCUUUAAAAAGUUUUAAAAUAGGAACAUAAUAUGUAAAUCUAAUUUUGUAAAAGAAGCUCUUCUAUAGUAAUAGUUAUAGAUUUGGUGUGGAGGCAUUUGUUUGAGAAUGGGUAAAACAUACCAUUAACCCUUUGAUAUAUGCACGAGACACUUAUUUGUGGAUAGGACAAGAAUUAUUUUGUUGCAUAGGAUCCCUUCCAAAUGUAAUUACUGAUUCACAAUUGGAUUAACAAGAAUUAACUUACUUCAUAUUCAGUAUUCCAACUGUUCGAUAAAAGUUCUUAAUGAAAUCUUCCAUAGAUUACCCAAAUGCAUUGUUUUGCAUAGUCCGUACAUUGAGAUGGUCGAGUAUCUUAUGUCUAGACUUAACGAGAGCAGACUCGAUCGCUUAGUCCUUAUUUAUUUACGACACACACACAUCUCAAAAUCACACAAAUUGACGAAUAAUGUUGCCAGCCAGCUCCUUCCUGUUCCACGCGCCAGCAUUUGUCUUCACCAUGGUGGCUGUGAAAUACCAUGAGAUAAUAUCAUGUUUGGCGACGUAUGGUUGGUUUAGUCCGCUGGCGGCGGAGAGCCCUACCUGAACCUGCUCAGGAAGAAACUCGCCCAAAUUGUACACAUGGCUGACCUCAAACGUCUUCGAGCCGGCGGUGGCACUGACGGUGAUCAUCUUCGUGGCUCCGACGUAGUUGAUCCGCGCAGUCACCUGCUGUCCGACUAUGGCGUCUCCGACAUUCGUCGUGUUGCUGGAUUCCCUAGAUCCGAGGUCGAUGCCGAUGUGGGGAUAGUUCGGAUCCCACGGGCUGUUGAUGAAGGUGUCGAACUCGACGGCGAAGACCGAGGGGCUAUUGCCGUUGGAGCCGAAAAUUCCGAGGUUGGCCCCAACAGCGCCACUGGGGAUGGUGGAGCCGACGGGGGCAAUGAAGAAAGCGAGGCCGUCAGCGGUUUUGCCAUCGGGGCUGGGUGUGAUGAUGAAGUUAAUGGUGGUUUCAAAGUCGACUUGGCCACCGGAUUGGGAGAACUGGACCGGCUUCGAGUACAAGACCCGGCCGACCUGGUAUGUCUCGAAGUCGGUGAGGCGGAGGAAGGUGGAGUCCGAUGGGAAAUGGGCGUGGCCUUGGUAGGUGAGAUCGGUCGGCUGGUCGCCCCAGAAGUCGUAGGUGAAGGACGUUGUUUGGGACCACACCGUGUUGGCAGCGGCGGCAAGGAGAAGGGCGAUGGAGAUUAGGGUUUGUUGAAGGUUGGCCAUCGCUUAAUUGAUUUGGAUGUGGUGGAUGAUGGUGGUAUCUUUAUCUUGCUUCUAUUUAUAGUAGUAUAACGAGCCCUAGUUAAUUAUCUUUAAAUCAUACUAAAAUAUCAUAAAUUAAAAUUGAAGAAAAAAAAGUUAAAACCUACUCUCGCAGUCCCUCAAAUAACUUCUUAGGAGAAGAGGGGUAGGAGUUUUAAGACGAAGUUAAUGUGCAAAGUAAGGAUAAA